This 46172-nucleotide long non-coding RNA is filed under the name Citrus x clementina. Its description in RNAcentral is "Citrus clementina (C. clementina) long non-coding RNA (CCLE_LNC002331)". The stretch from base 19429 to 19565 matches the Rfam family "Small nucleolar RNA Z247". The record is from RNAcentral. Lineage: Eukaryota; Viridiplantae; Streptophyta; Magnoliopsida; Sapindales; Rutaceae.
GUGAGUGGAGGAGGAGGUGUUGAUGGUAGCAAAGCAUGUGGGCAGUGGGCUUGAAUCUCUUAAAAACUUGGAACUCCUCCAAGCGUAAGUAUCCGUAUACUGGGAAAUGUGUUAGAUGUGGAUGAGGCUAAGAGAUUAGAGCUUGACAAAAUGAAAUACCUCUUUCGUUGAGACUUAAAUUUGAUGGGGAAGAAGAAAAAGAAGAGGGAAGGAGGAAGAAUGAGGAUAAUCAACUUGUUCUUGAAGCCUUGCAACCACCUCUGAAUUUGAAGGAAUUAGAGAUUUGGUCAUACAGAGGCAACAUUGCUUCCCCCAGGAUGAUGCAAAAAUUGAAGGAAUUUACCAAUCUAAGGAGUUUGAUACUGUAAAAACUGCAAAAACUUGAGAGCAGUUGCCUCCUUUGGGAAAAUUGUGAUCCUUUGAAAAUCUCAGCAUAUUGUACAUGGAGAGUGUGAGAACAGUGGGUAAUGAAUUUCUGGGAAUAGAAAGUGAUCUUCAUGACUCAUCUUCAUCUUCAUCAGUUAUUAUUGCCUUCCCCAAAUUGAAAUCACUUUCAGUUGAGGGAUUGAUGGAAUUGGAGGAGUGGGAUUAUGGGAUUAAAAGAACAGGAAACACCUUCACCAACAUUAUGCCACGUCUUUCUUCCUUGGAAAUUAGUGUGGGGUUAUGGGAUCGCACAACGACGUUGAAGGUAUUGCAGAUUGUGGCAUGUGGUACUCUAAGAAGACGUUACAGACAGGGUAGAGCAGAAGACUGGCCUAAGUUCUCUCACAUUCCAGACAUCAUGAUUGUGUGAAAAGAUGCCCUUGACAAAAUUCUCUAGGCGGCUACAUGGAGUACAAUCAUAAAAUGCUAAUGUGGCCACCCUGGUUCUUAAUUAAGGUUGUGAAAUAUUAUUGUAAAAGAUGAUUAAUUCAAUUUGAGUCAUUCGUUUGCUUUGAUAAUGAUAGUAAUUUUAUAUUUUGACAAUUUGCAAGGUGAGAAUGGUGCUGAUUGGUGAUACAGGAUAUGGUUCAAACACCAUUGAAUAAAGCUACGGACAUGGUGGCUCAACUUAGCUAGACUGCUGUCAAAAUUGGUAAGUUGGCUUGUCAAUGUAUUGAUGCUUUUGUUUUCUCUCAACCCUAAUUACCUUACCUUCAUUUAGUUUGGCUUUGGAGUUGAGUAAUAACUUUCAAGGUUCUCAAACAGAGCAGGACAACCGAAAAAAAAUAGCUUAAUUUGCUGCAGAUCACGUGUUACCAAUUAUUUAAGGUAAUUCUCGUUUACUUGCUUCUACACUAUAGAGUACGUGUUCUGGCUGGUUUAUCUAAUUCAUCAAAUGUUAUUUCCUUAUUGUUCCAUUGAUAUAUUUGUUAGAAAAUGAAACCAUUUCCAGGCAGCAGUUGGCAGUGAAUUCAUGCAAAUGUUGAUGCCAUUCAUAGAUAUUGAAGAUAAUGAUGAGCCAAAGGUGAUAAAUCAUUAAUGCAUAGUUACCAAAACCUCCAUCCUUCUCUCAUUGUAAUUUGAUUUGAAAUGAAUAAUUGCUAGGUAAUUGAAGCCAAUAUUGUUAGAAACGGUGUUGAGCUACCCAAGCUAAGAAGUUAGCUGCCAAAAAAUGCAGGGGAUCAAAAGAAGCAUUGCAGUGCUACAAUGCUGCUACUGGGAAAUUUAAAUCCCAUAUUAGACUUUCCUCACAUCAGAAGCUGUGGAUCUUCGGACAUCAGGUUUUUUCACAGUUCUUAAACUCUCAGGAUUAAACUCUAUUAAAGUUGUUGUAGUUGUCUACGUUCUCAGGUCAAGGAUUCUAAGCUGCCGAUUAAGGCAAAAUAUCAGAAUUCCCCUAUUAUUAUUUUUUUUCAUGUAAAUUUAUGUUGUUGUCUUCGCCCAUGAAUCUUAGCAAAAUUCUGAACCAAUUGUUUGCUAUUAUAAAUUUCAUUGUUAAAUAUUAAUUGUGAUGUUGGUGUUGAGUUUCUUUUAAAGUCACAGAAGCCUGACGAUUGAGUUCCGUGGGACUCUGAGAAGCAGUAAUAUUUUGAACAAGUGAAGGUUCUUCGUUUUUAAUUAUGUUCUGCACUUUUACAGUAUGUGCAGAUGUCUAAGAGGCAGGAUUUUAAUUUCUGUAAUGCUAAAUUUCGCAAAACAAUAAAAAAAAUAAAUGCAUGACAGUGACUUCAAGAAUUUAGAUUAUUGAAUUUGGCCAUUUCAAAAUUGAACCAGAGCUCAGAAAUGUAGAAUAUAAAUAUUGGAGAUUUGAACUUCAAUCAUUAGAUUUGAAGCUAAAGAGGUAAGCCAUUAAUUACAUCAAAUGAUUUGGAAAAUGGAGGAAUUGGAAAAAGGAAACUUUUUCUUUGUCCGAUUCAAGGGGAACGUCACAGAGAGGGGUAAAGAGAAGAGUAGCCUAAGAUAUUAAAGACAAUGUUGAGGCAAAGGAAACAUAAAUCCCAACCAUUGCAUGUGAGCAUGAUCACAAUAAAUCCCAACCAUCCAAACCAUUUUUUUGAGAAUUUUCAAUUGAAAGUGAAACCUUUUGACAUUUACCUAAUAAAGUAAGUUAAACGAGAGAAAUAAAGGGGGGAAAAAAAGUUGACUCAAGUCAAUACAGAAUUAUUAGUUCAACCUGGAGAAACUAAAACAGAGACACUAUAUUUUCAAAAAUAUCUGCAUUCAUCACCUUCUCCAACAGCUAAUGAGCUACACACGAAUCAUUUCCUUUUAGCAUUUUUGCAGCAUCAAUUUAUCCCCUCGUUUGUCAUCAGUUUCUCCCUUCGUUUCACCAAUACCAUGGCUGAUGCAAUCCUUUCCCCUCUCUUGGAGCAGCUGAUUAUCUUCGCUGCUGAAGAGAUGAGACAACAGGGGAAGCUGGUGAGUGUUGGAUGAGCGGAUCACAGCAUGCGCCAAAUUGCAAAUUGAGAGCGGCAUUGAUGACAAUGCUCUUGGUGCUCCUUAUCUGAAGAAGAAGGUAUAUUCCUGCUUUCCUGCUUCUUGCUUUGGUUUCAAACAAGUCUUUCACUGUCAUAACAUUUAUUGUAAUUUCAUUUGGAGAUAUGUAAUAUCUGUUGUCCAGAUAUAUUUCAUACACCAGCUGCUAAUAAUUCUGCUUGAAGAGAACUUGCAAAGGAGCUGUGUGAUGUAAUAGAAGACUAUAGUCUGGUCAAUUUUUUCAACCUUAGAUAUUAGGAAGUUAUGUAUUUCAUUAUCAGUUAUCAUUAUGAUUCUUAUCUUCAAAAAGAUAAAUGGAUGGCUUUGAAUGGCUUGUGUUUGAGGAUUUUAGUUGGACUUAUUUUGAUUGAAGUACUUUUUGACAAUAGAAUUCCUUCAUGAUUUAAACAUUCUUUUUAAAAUCAAAUAAUCAAAAAAAUUAAAUAAAUAAAUAGAGUAACUAACAAAUAUGAUUUUAUUUUGUUAGUGUUUUUCUCAUCAAAUAUACAUAAGAGUACUGUAAUUAAUUGCAACCAAUUUUUCACUAAAUACGCCUACAACAAACUAUUAAUAAUAAAGUGAUAGAAAAAUGCCUAAUUUUUCAUACUUUCUAAUUUCUUUUGGCCCUAAAAUAUAGGUAUUUAUGUCAUAAUAAGCCCAUGUGGAUCUCAAUGCCGAAAGUUCGAUAAAUGGCUUUCAAGGAUUACUUAUUAAGGUGGCGUUUGUUUUUUAACUUAAUGACUUAAAGUGACUUAACUUAAUUAAUUAAGUUAAUUAGAGGUGUUUGUUUUUAUAACUUAAUGAAACUUUUUAGAUAAUUUUGACUUAAUAAAAUAAGCUAAUUUUUUUGGCUUUUUACUUAAUUGAGAAAUAUGAAUUAAGUCAAUUACUUGCUAAUGUCAAAAAUAUCCCUGUUUUAUAAUUUAUUUUUCAUGUCUAUCCCAAAACUCACCCAUAGAUAAUUACCCCACAUAAAAAUAUCCCUAUUUUUUCUUUUUUAUAUUAUAUACGAUAAAAUUUAAAAUUUAUGGUAUUUUAUAUAUUAAAAUUCCAAAAUAAUUAUGUAUUCACUUGAAUAUAGUUUUACUUAUAAAUGUUAAAAUAUUGUGGUAUUUAAUAUAUUAUUUAUUUAACAUUCAAAUUUAAUAAGGAUACAAAUGUAAAAGUACAUAUUUUCAGCUUUUUAAGCUGAAAAAACAAACAACUUAAUACUUAUUUUUCGAGAUUCAGACGAAAAAACAAACAUAUUAUUCAGAUUCAGAUAUUCAGACCUAUUCAGAAUUCAGACUAAUUCAGGUCUACUCAGAUUUCAGAUAAACAAAACAAAUGCCACCUAAGUAAAAAAUAAUUCAAAGGACAAAAUGGUAAAACUAGAAGGGUGGAGUAAUAUGGCUACCUUGGGUUACAUAGUAAGUUGACUACAUUCAAAGUAUAAAAUAUUAGAAACUGAACGGUGGAGUAAUCGUCGUUUAGAUGAAUGAUAUGUCUAAGACGUUGCAUGCAUCAAGAAAAUUGCAGAUGAUUAAACCUUGCCAUCUAUGCGUUGUAUGAGGUUAUAGCAACUAUCUAUCUGGUCACCGUUUUCAAGUCUCAAUUGGUAGUCCAAAGAAAAGAAUGAUUUUGCAAUAGCAUUAAGUGUUAAUUGGACACAAAAGGAAGUGUUUUAACCACUUUAAGGAAAGUAAAUGUAAUUUUCUGUCCUAAAGAAAAGGUAAAUGUAUGCACUUUCAAUUAAUCUUUGGUCGACCAGCAACAUCAUAAUUUCGUUUAGGUUCAUUUUUGUUUCUUAGAGUUUGUAAAAAGAAUGGAAAGAUUUUAAAAUAUAAAUUUCAUAUCUGUUUAUUACUGUUGUUUGGUCUAAUUUCUUAUGUAGAAUUUUCAGAAUCUGUAGGACAUUAGUUUAUAAUUUUGAGAUUUUGCAGCCAUAAAUGUAUUUUUCUUUUUUUGUUGCCAUUUUAUUUUGCUCCUUUAUCUAUGUGCAUGUUGACUGGCUGCAGUGAGUGAAAAUUUACCUAUAUAUGCUGGCUAUUCUUGGACAAUAUUAGAGAAAAUAAUCAUAUUAUUUCGCGUGAUGUGAACUUCCAUAACUUAUCAAUUGAAUUGCUGUAAAAUAUUAAAUAGUUUUAUUUUUCUUUUAUCGUGUAACUUGGACCAAAAAAGGAAAUGAGUUUAACAUGACCCUCAUUCCGGCACUAUGCCUGUUUUUCUUGUAUUGAUGACAGUGCUCUUGGUGCUUCUCAUCUGCUUCUUGCUUUGGUUUCAAACGAGUCUUUCUCCGUCAAGACAUUUAUUGUAAUUUCAUUUGGAGACAUCUAUCGUUCAAUAUAUUUCAUAUGCAAGCUGUUAAUAAUUCUGCUUGCAGAAAGCCUACAAAGCAGCUGUGUGAUUUAAUAGAAGACCAUAGUCUCGUCAAUUUUUCAACAUUAGAUAUUCAGUGUCAUAUUUGGCUGCAUCUAGAAGCCACUGCAUCUAGAAGCCUUGAAUAAGCAAAGUUGGCUUUGACAGCCGGCCAAAGAAAAUGUUGAAGAAUUUGGCAGCAGCAAAUUUGGAAUGAAGAAAAAGAAGAAAGAAGAAAAUAGAAGAAUGAAGACGGUGGUAAAAAUAAUAAUUUAAUAGCCAUUUUUUUGGCUAUAAAAGGCAGAGCUCCUCAUUUCAUUUUGUAUCCAAUUCCAUUCAGAGAGCAAUUUAGGGAGUUGAGAGAGAGUUUGAGAGCUUGCAUUUAUAAGCUCUUGUUACAGUGAUUGAGAGAGUUUGGGUGUAUUGGGGUUUUAGGGAAGUGAGCUAAAAUACUACAAUACUUGUAACUCCUUUUCACUAGUAAAAUAUUUCCUUCUGUCUUCGCCCGUGGAUGUAGGCUAAAAGCCGAACCACGUAAUUUCUGGUGUCCUCUAUUGUGCUGGUUCUUUAUUUUUUCUUCCAAUUUCAUUUUAGCUGCGGUCCUACUUCACCCACCAAUUUCCUAACAGUGGUAUCAGAGCCAGGUUGUAUUUUUUGGAGUCGGGAACUGUUCCGGUCCUACUUCACCCACCAAUUUCCUAACAGUGGUAUCAGAGCCAGGUUGUAUUUUUUGGAGUCGGGAACUGUUCACGUAAGGGGUACUAUUCACGUAUACGGCACCGUACACGUAUAUGAAACUAUUCACGUAUACGGUACUGUUCAUAUAUACGGUGUUGUUUACAUAGACUGUACUAUUCACGUAUAUGGUACUAUUCACGUGAAGCGGUGGAAGCGAUCCAAGAAUUUUACGGUGCAACUAUUCAAGGUGGUACACUAACUUGUGUGCAGUAUUUAUCAACAAAAUGGCGGCAAAGUAUGAAAUUGAGAAAUUUAACAACUAUUCAAGGUGGUACACUAACUUGUGUGCAGUAUUUAUCAACAAAAUGGCGGCAAAGUAUGAAAUUGAGAAAUUUAACGGAAAUAAUUUUUCGUUGUGGAAAAUGAAGAUGAAAGCUGUAUUGAGGAAAAAUAAUUGUUUGGCAGCAAUUGGAGAAAGGCCCAUGGAGAUAACUGAUGACAAGUGGAACGAGGUAGACGGCAAUGCCAUUUCUGAUCUACACUUGGCAGUUGCGGAUGGAGUAUUAUCCAGUGUGGCAGAGAAAAAUACGGCGAAGGAAAUAUGGGAUACUCUCACAAAAUUGUAUGAGGCCAAGUCACUACACAACAAAAUUUUCUUGAAGAGAAAACUCUAUAUUCUUCGAAUGACGGAAUCUACAAUGGUGACCGACCACAUCAACACAUUGAAGACUCUAUUUUCACAACUCACAACGUUGGGUCAUAAUAUAGAGGAAAAUGAACGUGCACAGCUUCUACUUCAAAGUCUACCAGAUUCGUAUGAUCAACUCAUCAUCAACUUGACGAACAACAAUCCAGUGGAGAGUCUAGUUUUCGAUGAUGUUGCAGCCUCCGUAUUAAAUGAGGAGAGCAGGCGGAAAAAUAAGGAAAACAGACAAGCAAGUUCGCAGUAAGCAGAAGCGCUAUCGGUGACGAGAGGGAGUUCAACGGAACGUGGCCCCAGUGGGAGUCAAAAUCAGGGUAGAUCAAAAUCCAGAAGUAAGAAGAAUGUUAAAUGCUACAACUGUGGCAAGAAAGGGCAUGUCAAGAAAGAGUGUUGGAGUAACCAGAAGAGAAGAGAGGGCAAAGAACCUGAGUCAUCAAAUGCUCAGGGGUGUGUAGCAAGUACCUCAGAUGAUGGCGAAAUUCUCUACAGUGAGGCAACAACUAUUUCAGAAGGCAGAAAACGACUUUAUGAUGUCUGGCUUAUAGACUCAGGAGCUACCUAGCACAUGACCUCUAGGAGAGAAUGGUUCCACACAUAUGAACCUAUCUCAGGAGGAUCUGUAUAUAUGGGUAACGAUCAUGCCUUGGAGAUCGCUGGUAUUGGUACUAUCAAAAUAAAAAUGUUUGAUGGUACAAUUCGCACAAUUGGGGAGGUACGACAUGUCAACGGCCUGAAGAAAAAUCUAUUGUCUUUGAGACAAAUAGAUAGUCAUGGGUACAAAACUCAUGUGGAGAAUGGAAUUAUGAAGAUCGUUAAAGGCGCGCUUGUAUUGAUGAAGGCAGAAAAGAUCGGUGCUAAUCUAUACAUGCUUAAAGGAGAAACGCUACAGGAGGCAGAUGCGUGUGUCGCAUCAAAUGGAGAAGAGUCAACGAUGAUGUGGCAUCUCAAACUUGGCCACAUGUCAGAACAAGGUUUGAAGAUUCUCUCUGAGCGAAAAUUGCUUCCGGGGCUCAAAUCGGUAAGUUUACCAUUUUGCGAGCAUUGUGUUACAAGUAAGCAGCAUAGAUUAAAAUUCAGUAGAUCUAUUGCUAGAAGUAAAUGCAUUCUAGACUUGAUUCAUUCUGAUGUUUGGGAAUCACCGGAUAUAUCCAUGGGAGGUGCAAAGUACAUGGUGACUUUCAUUGAUGAUUAUUCCAGAAGAUGUUGGGUGUAUCCAAUUAAGAAAAAGUCAGAUGUAUUUCCAGUGUUUAAAGAAUACAAAGCGCGGGUGGAACUUGAAUCUAGUAAAAAGAUCAAGUGCUUAAGGACGGAUAAUGGUGGAGAGUAUACAGACGGCGAGUUUCUUGCUUUCUGUAAGCAAGAAGGUAUUCAGAGGCAGUUCACGGUGGCAUACACUCCUCAACAAAACGGAGUAGCGGAGCGGAUGAACAGAACUCUUACAGAAAGAAUAAGAGCUAUGUUGAGGACUGCUGGUCUACCCAAUUCAUUCUGGGUAGAAGCAGCAAAAACCGCCUGUUAUAUAGUAAAUCGGUCGCCAUCUACAGCUAUUGGGUUGAAGACAGCGAUGGAGAUGUGGACUGGAAAGCCAGCUGAUUAUUCCUACCUACAUGCAUUUGGAUGUCCUAUGUACGUGAUGUACAAUGCCCAAGAAAGAACAAAGCUGGAUGCAAAAUCUAGAAGAUGUAUCUUCUUGGGGUAUGCUGAUGGAGUAAAGGGGUAUCGUCUGUGGGACCCCACUGCCCACAAGAUCGUCAUCAGCAGAGAUGUUAUCUUUGUAGAAGAUCAACUACAAAGAAAAGAUGGAGAUGAUGGCACUGUAAAAGAAAAGUCAGAGACUGUACCAGUAUAUGUCGAAAAUAAUCUAGAAGAUUCAAAUUCUUCUGAAGUAGCACCAGAGCACGAUGAACAAGAACCAGUCGAGUCCGAGGCUCCAGAAGUUCGUCGGUCAACUCGUGAGAGACGACCGCCGGCGUGGCACUCGGAGUAUGUCACAGAGAUCAACGUUGCAUACUGUCUUCUAACAGAGGAUGAAGAGCCUUCAACUUUCCAUGAAGCUUUAAACAGCUCAGAUGUUGCUUUGUGGAUGACAGCAAUGCCGGAAGAAAUUGAAGCUCUACACAAGAACAAGACAUGGGAACUUGUACCACUACCACACGGAAGAAAAGCCAUUGGAAACAAAUGGGUCUACAAGAUCAAACGUGAUGGCAAUGAUCAAGUGGAGCGGUAUCGUGCGAGAUUGGUGGUGAAAGGAUAUGCUCAGAAAGAAGGUAUUGACUUCAACGAAAUAUUUUCUCCGGUGGUUCGACUCACAACAGUCAGAAUAGUCUUGGCGAUGUGUGCUACAUUUGAUCUACAUCUUGAGCAGUUUGAUGUGAAAACUGCAUUUCUUCAUGGAGAACUUGAAGAAGAAAUAUAUAUGCUCCAACCAGAAGGUUUUGCAGAAACAGGAAAUGAGAACUUGGUUUGCAGGUUGAACAAAUCUCUAUACGGUCUCAAACAGGCGCCGAGGUGUUGGUAUAAGAGAUUUGAUUCCUUCAUCAUGAGCCUUGGAUACAACAGACUCAGUUCAGACCAUUGUGCAUAUUACAAGAGGUUUGAAGAUAAUGAUUUCAUUAUUUUGCUAUUGUAUGUGGAUGACAUGUUGGUAGCAGGUCCCAACAAAGAUCGAAUCCAAGAAUUGAAGGCACAGUUGGCUAGGGAGUUUGAAAUGAAGGACUUGGGACCAGCAAACAAGAUUCUAGGGAUGCAAAUUCACCGAGACAGAAAUAAUAGGAAGAUUUGGCUUUCUCAGAAAAAUUACUUGAAGAAAAUCUUGCGGCGCUUCAACAUGCAAGAUUGUAAGUCAAUUUCUACCCCACUUCUUGUUAAUUUCAAAUUAUCCUCAAGUAUGUGUCCUAGCAAUAAAGUGGAGAGGAAGGAUAUGUCUCGAGUACCGUAUGCAUCAGCAGUGGGAAGUUUGAUGUUCGCUAUGAUAUGUACUAGACCAGACAUUGCACAAGCAGUGGGAGCAGUCAGUCGAUACAUGGCGAAUCCUGGUGGAGAGCAUUGGAUAGCUGUGAAGAGGAUUCUGAGAUACAUCAGAGGAACCUCAGAUGUUGCAUUAUGUUAUGGAGGAUCAGAGUUUACUGUCAGGGGCUAUGUGGAUUCAGAUUUUGCAGGAGAUCUUGAUAAAAGGAAAUCCACUACUGGUUAUGUGUUUACACUUGCGGGAGCAGCUGUAAGCUGGGUUUCGAAACUGCAGACCGUUGUGGCUUUAUCUACAACAGAAGCAGAGUACAUGGCAGCUACACAAGCUUGCAAGGAAGCUAUUUGGAUACAAAGAUUAUUGGAGGAGCUCGGGCACAAACAACAGAAAAUUUCUGUGUAUUGUGACAGUCAGAGUGCCUUGCACAUUGCAAGGAAUCCAGCCUUUCAUUCCAAGACAAAGCACAUAGGAGUUCAGUAUCACUUCAUUCGUGAAGUAGUGGAAGAUGGAAGUGUGGAUUUGCAGAAAAUCCAUAUGAAGGAGAACCUAGCAGAUGUUUUUACCAAGCCAAUAAAUGCUGACAAGUUUAUCUGGAGUAGAUCCUCUUGUGGCCUAGCAGCAACGUAGGCAACAUGAUUAUGGCGAAGCAUAAAGGAUGGUGUGGAGAUUGAUUGAUUCUCAAUCUAAUCUCCAAGUGGGAGAAUGUCAUAUUUGGCUGCAUCUAGAAGCCACUGCAUCUAGAAGCCUUGAAUAAGCAAAGUUGGCUUUGACAGCCGGCCAAAGAAAAUGUUGAAGAAUUUGGCAGCAGCAAAUUUGGAAUGAAGAAAAAGAAGAAAGAAGAAAAUAGAAGAAUGAAGACGGUGGUAAAAAUAAUAAUUUAAUAGCCAUUUUUUUGGCUAUAAAAGGCAGAGCUCCUCAUUUCAUUUUGUAUCCAAUUCCAUUCAGAGAGCAAUUUAGGGAGUUGAGAGAGAGUUUGAGAGCUUGCAUUUAUAAGCUCUUGUUACAAUGAUUGAGAGAGUUUGGGUGUAUUGGGGUUUUAGGGAAGUGAGCUAAAAUACUACAAUACUUGUAACUCCUUUUCACUAGUAAAAUAUUUCCUUCUGUCUUCGCCCGUGGAUGUAGGCUAAAAGCCGAACCACGUAAUUUCUGGUGUCCUCUAUUGUGCUUGUUCUUUAUUUUUCUCCCAAUUUUACUUUAGCUGCGUGUCUGCUUCACCCACCAAUUUCCUAACAUUCAGCUCAUCAGCUUCUCAUGAAUUCUUUCCUGAGUUUCUUUGAAUUAUUUGUGAUGCAAUAACUUGUGCAUUUGAGAAACUGUUCUCUGGAAUUCUUUCUUGAGUUUCUUUGAAUUAUUUGUGAAUAAGUUGUUAAUCGGCUGCUUCUCUUCAAGAUAAGGAAAGUGUUGCAAACUGGUGAAGCAGCUGAUAGAUAAAAGCAAUGCCAGUGUGGUUGAAUUCAGCAAGAUUGGCGUUCGUGAUGCAAACGAGAUUACAUAGUGGUUAAAAGCAAUAAUCAAUGUUUUAACCAUAAAAACUUCUUUCCACCUAUUUUCGGCCUUGUGAUUCUCAUAUCCAUAGAACUUUUUGGUAAUUUAAUCAUAUUUCAUCGUAUGCAUCUGCAUCUUCUAACCAGUGCGUUUGAGAAACUAAUUUUGCUGUUAGGCAGGUUUCAAGCUUGAUUAAUGUAUUUUUCAUAAAUGUACCAAAGUUAUGUAAACCAAAUAAUAAAAAAUAAAUAAAAGGAAAUGAGUUUAAUAUAACCUCCAUUCCAGCACUAUGCACGUUAAUUGUUCCCCAAGGACUCUCCUGAUUCUUAUUCCCAACCUCCAUGCUCUCAAGAGGAGUUUAGCACCCAUCAAUUUUUACUUUUGAAAACUCGUAAUGGUCUGAUAAAAUUAAACAACAUUAAAAAUGUUACCAGUCAUUAAAUAGUAAUUUAUUUAUUUACUUUGCCACCUAAAGGAAUCCUGCUGUAAAUAGAGGUUAAAAAUUUUAUUAGAUCUACUUACCUUUGUUCAUUCAGCAAACACAUACAAUUUACAACUAGUGAAUCUAUCCGUUGACAAUUGUGGAUUAAAAUUAUAACACCUGAAUUCAAACAUAUUUUACGAAGUUAUGAAUUUGUUCAUACUUCAAAUGAUUUUUUUUCCCCAAGCUAAUAAAGCUACCACAUUGAUCAAAUGACGACGUUGAAGGAAUUGCGUAUUUUUCAAUGUCCUUUUCCAGACACACGUUGGAGAGAGGGAAAGAAGAAGACUGGCUUAAUUAAGAUAUCUCACAAAGAUUAUUGAGUUAAAAUGUUAUUGUAAAAGAUGUUUAAUACGAUAAUAGUACUUCUUUUGCAUUGUUAUAAUAAGGUUGGUAGGUUUCCCCAGAGGAUGGAUCUGGCUCGCUAGUCUCCAUUUGGGAAGAUGCUAAUUAUCGGCCAUAAAAAAGUCAAGGGGUUGUGGCUCUUCUGUGGCCCAGAAAUUCCUAAUCUCAUAUCUCAAACUUGGGCAUUAUGUAAAUAUGUAUUUUUGAGAAUUAAACUAUUGCGUAGAAAAAUUUUGAGCCAUUGUAAUCAUUUUAUUUUGCUAAGAGAAAAUUUUACUUUGUGUUUCGAUUUGACUUUUGUUUUGUUUGUGAUAAUAAGAUUCAUACCAAUGUGAUUACACACCUAUCAUGCUUCUAUUUUCAUUUGCUUGUCAUGAUAGAUCAACAUGCUCAAAAAUAUUUAUUUAGGUUGGAAAUAUUUGAAUCCACUAAAAUACUAUACAAACCCAUUUUAAAAUUUUAAAAAAAAUGAUUAUCAUAAUACUCGUGAAGAUAACGCGAUAUCAUACAUAAAAUAAAAUAUUUCGCAAAAAAGAUAGGAUACAAAUCUUAAGUAAGUGGGUAUAAAAAAUAUUUUAGUGAGUUCAAGUAGCACUAAUGCCCCCUUAUCAAAAAAUAUAUAAAAAUAACUAGUCUGAUUGGGUAUACCGUUGGCUAAACUAAAGUUCUGAAGAUAUAUAUAUAUAUAUAUAUAUUGAUAAUUUAUAAUGUACAUUAUAGAGAAAGAUUUUGAAAGUAAUAUUUUUUUAGUAUUAUUAUAUAAUAUUUUGUAAAAAGUAGAGAGAGUGAGCAAAACCAAAUUAAUUUUCUAACCCCCCUCCUUUAGGAUUUAAACUCAUUUUUUAGUGUCGCCGGCCAUUCAAAUUUUCUAGUUGAAUAGGCUAAAUUGCAUGAAAUUGUGCUAGCUUAGCUUGAUUCUAGAAAUUUCCAGUACACUGUAACACAUUCCCACACUUGUACAUAGCUCGAAAUUCUCUAGAAUUUACUAUAGUAGCGUAACAUGUAGCUUGUACAUAGGUUUUUCUAUAACACUCCAGGCAUUACUAGGCAUGAGAGCUCUCACCAAGCUUUGAGAACUCUCUAGACAUAAAACAUUCUAGCGCAAGCCUACCCUAAAAAUAGGGCAUGAAGCUUGCCAUUCGAGCAUACAACAAGUAAGAACAAUUCAAGCAUACUUGUAAGCUCUCAAACUCUCUUAUACACACUCUUGUGAAUAAUAUAAUUUCCCUUUGGCUAUAUUGUUCUCUCUUCUCUCUAGUUUUUUCGAAAGCAUCAUAACUUAGCUAGUCGAAAAAUUCAAGGCUUACUUUGCAACUAUCUCGUAAAAGUUGUUUAAGUACCACAGGAGUUUGCUGUACAAAAUACUCAUCCCGUGACAUUAGUCAAAUAAAAUUGUUUGAAAGCCACUUACCCGGAUAUUAUUCUUUUAAUAUGCAAUCUUUUAAUAUAAACUUUUGUCUUAAUUUUCUAUCUCCUACGAUAAAUUUUAGAAUUUUAAAAAUUUUAAAAAUUAAUAACUAUUAGAUAGAGCAUUUACUGUUAAAAGAAAUCUAUAUAGAUAUAUAGAUACAUAGUAAUAUAAAAACUUACUACAAUAUAAUGUUUUUAGUUUCUUAUUUUUUCAAGAUAAAAUUCAAAGACACAAGUUAAAUGUUGUGGAAAAUCUUCCACCCAUACAAGAAAUCGUCACAGCUAAAUGCAAACCGAGCUAAAGUAUUAGUUGUUUUAUUACAAUCUCUAAAAAGAUGAGCGAUUCCAAAAUCUUUCUUUGUAACAAUAAGCACUACAGUUCAGCAACUAUCCAAGUCAAAAGCAACUCAAUGUGAGUGCUAAGCUAAAUCAAUUUCAUUAACAAAUUAGAUGCCAAAGAGCAAGGCUUCGUCCUCAAUUAUAUUGACAUUAUCUGAGUAAACUCUAAAUACCACAAUCAACCCCAAAAAACAUGACUAACUAUUGUGUUUAAAAUAAAUUUUUUUUUUUUUAGAUAUCCGUUGGUAGUAUCUCUUUAGAUGAAUAUAGGAGAUAAAAUAAAUAAAUAUUUAUUGUGUAAAUAAAAAUAAAUAAAUUUUUUUGAACGGAAAAAAUUCCCAAGAACUAAAUUGUUCAAACGUUUUUUAACAUCAUGUGUUUCUAAUAAUUUAGGGUUGGGCAUUCAGUUCGGUUUUUACCGAACUGAACAACUAAAUUAAAUUGAAAUUACCCUAUUCGGUUCAAUUGAAUAGACAAAAACUAGAGCUGGCAAAACGGGUCAUCGGGUCGUGUUCAUGUCGUGUCAGUUUCGUAUCGUGUCAAAUUUAGUUCAACCCAAACCCGACCCAUUUAAUAAUCAUGUCAAAAUAUUGAGACCCAAACCCGAUACGGAAAAAUAAUCGGGUCACCCAAUAACCCGCUGAAUAUCUAUAUAUUUAACAAAAGUUACAUCAAAUAUUUACACAUUAUCAUACAUGCGUAUGUACAUACAUAAUUUAUCGAUAUUAUAAAAUAUACAUAUCUACCAAAAUAUUACACAUUUACACUAUUGAGGUUUUAAUUAAUUAUAUAUAUAUAUAAUAUUAUAUAUUAAUAUUAUAAAAUAUACAUAUCUACCAAUAUUUUAUACAUUUACACUAUUGAAACUCUAAAUGUGUUUAAAAUUUUAUAAAUAAAAUAUUGUACUUAUAUUCAUCCUUUUAAAGAAUAUAAAUAAAAGAGAAAAUCAUCUCUAAUAUUUAAGUUUUGAUGACAAAAACCUACAAAUUAUUUUAAAAUAGAAAAUAUAAUCGGGUCAUUAGUCGGGUAAAUGGGUCAAUAAUUUUAACCCUAACCCGACACGGAAAAAAAUCGUGUCGACCCGAACCCGACCCAUUUAAUAAUCGUGUUAAAUUCAACGACCCAUACCCAUUUAUUUGUGUCGUGUUCGUAUCGAGUAAUCGGAUCGUGUCAAAUUUUGCCAGCUCUAACAAAAACCGAACAGUUUAUAUUUUUAUGAAUUGAAUGAUUUGUAUUUUAGUUUAGUUCGGUUCGGUUCUGGAUCUAAACCGAACCGAACCGUAAACCGUAAACUGCCCACCCUUAAAGUUUCCAUUAACCGCCGUUGCAUUGCUCAAAUCACAGUCUCUCGCUUUCAGCUCAGUCAGAGUUUCCAGGUCCAGAGACUUGCCGCUGACUGAGAGCUUUUUAGUAGCAGGUCUACAAAUAAUGGAAUAGAGCUGAUUUAAUGAUUAAUUUAUUUCCUUUUUCAAUUUCUUUUGAUUGCCAUGUAAUCUGGAUAAGUUAAACGUGAAUUGUUUAGUGCAGAUUAAAUGUUCGACGAAUUUCCCGCAAGAAUAUUAAGUUAAAGAGAAAAAAAGAAAACAAUUGAGCGUGAGCGAGAAUGGUGUUUGGCCAAGUGGUGAUUGGUCCGCUCGGCUCGGGAAAGCCCACUUACUGCAAUGGCAUGUCUUAGUUUCUCAGCCUUGUUGGCAGGUAACUUCGUUUCUUGAUUUCAAGCAGCUUUCUCUUUGAUGGCCAAAAAUAUUGAUUUGGGCUUUGCCCUUUAAAUUAAUGUAAGAGCGGUAGGGAAUAAUCGAGUUAUAGUCUUAGCUUUAAGUGAACAUUGAUGAUAACAUGCAUGUGAAGGUUGUAUGUGUUCAGCGGCAAGUUGUAUGCCAAUUUGGUCUAUAUGGUUUUUUUGUUGGUAACUUAUUAAUUUUUAUGCAGGAAGGUUACAGUCAUCAAUUUGGAUCCUGCUAGUGAUAGUUUGUCGUAUCCUUUGUCAGAACCUUUUUACAAAUGCUGUGGUUUGUUGUACUAUAAUUAGUUCAAUCGGAAACUUCCUUGAUGUUAAUAUAGAUAUGAGUGUGCUGUGAAUAUUGAGGACCUCAUUAGACUAAGUGAUGUGAUGAAGGAGCAUUCACUUGGUCCCGAUGGAGGUUAGUCAUCCUAUUGUUGUUUACUCUUUCUUGCUUUAUCACGCAAUGAUAUUCCUUUGCUUUACAAAAAAUUUCAUGAAAUUAACUUCAAUCAAGUGGCUACCUGUUGAGAUUUUAUGGAUAAUGAUUUGGUAGAGUUUAUAUGCCCUCUUCUUUCUUUUUGCAGUGAUAUGUUUGUAUUCAAUGUGCUUGUACUUAUUCUACGAUUUCUAACGUAGGUGUUUUUAUGAUAAACUAGGUCUUGUGUAUUGUAUGGACUAUCUAGAGAAGAUUAUUGACUGGUUGCAGUCGAAAUUGGAACCACUUUUGAAAGGUAAGAAGAGGCCAUUUUGCUUCAUUCUAAUGCCAAUAAUGCUGUCAUGAGACUCAUAAAAAUUGUUAAAACGUUAAUGUUUUUGGUAUUUUGCAGAUCAUUAUCUUCUGUUUGAUUUUCCUGGCCAAGUUGAAUUAUAUUUUCUUCAUUCCAAUGCCAAGAAUGUUAUAUGAGACUCAUAAAGAAGUUAAAUCUCAGGGUAUUGUUACAUCUUACAUAUAUGAAGGGACUCAAAGAGUUGAGAUGAAUUCAUCUUUGUUAUUUUGAUGCCAGAAUUGUGCAAUUCUCAGUUGGUUCCUUUCACAUGCAGUUGACUGCAGUGCAUCUAGUUGAUGCGCAUCUUUGCAGUUGUUUCUAAAGCUGGUACAUUUAAGAUACCUUAAUUUGUCUUUUCAGAAAAUAGUGAAACUACCGGAGACAUUAUGUGAGUUAUAUAAUCUAGAAAAGUUAGAUAUUACUCAUUGUGAGUAUCUUGAAGAAUUACCUGAAGGGAUUGGGAAGUUAAUAAACAUGAGGCAUUUACUAAAUAAAGGUACUAAUUCUUUAAGGUACAUGCCAGUAGGGAUUGGGAGAUUAACGGGUCUUAGGACCUUGGGUGAGUUCCAUGUGAGUGGAAGAGGAGGUGUUGAUGGUAGGAAAGCAUGUAGGCUUGAAUCUCUUAAAAGCUUGGAACACCUUCAAGUAUGUGGUAUAUGUAGACUGGGUGAUGUAUCAGAUGUGGGCGAGGCUAAGCGAUUAGAACUUGACAAAAAGAAAUACCUCUCUUGUUUGAGACUUCGAUUAGAACGAAGACAAUCAACUACUUCUUGAAGCCCUGCGACCACCUCUGGAUUUAAAGGAAUUAGAGAUACAGUUCUACCGAGGCAACACUGUUUUCCCCAGCUGGAUGACGUCAUUAACCAACUUAAAGAGUUUAGAUCUCUCUUUCUGCGAAAAUUGCUAGCAGCUGCCUCCUUUGGGAAAAUUGUCAUCCCUUGAACAGCUCUUCAUAUCGUACAUGUCGAGUGUGAAAAUAGUGGGUGAUGAAUUUUUGGGGGUAGAAAGUGAUCGUCAUGACUCAUUGUCAUCUUCAUCAGUGAUUAUUGCCUUCCCCAAAUUGAAAUCACUUAGUAUUGAGGGAUUGAUGGAAUUGGAGGAGUGGGAUUAUGGGAUUACAAGAACGGGAAACACCGUCAUCAACAUCAUGCCCCGUCUUUCUUCCUUGGUAAUUGAUAGUUGCGACGAAUUAAAGGCACUGCCCGAUCACAUUCAUCAAACGACAACAUUGAAGCGAUUGUGGAUUUUGAAUUGUGGGCCUCUGGGAGAACGUUACCGCAAGGGGGAAGGAGAAGACUGGCCUAAGAUAUCUCACAUUCCCAACACAGAUAUUCGAUAAAAAGGAUUCGCGCAUUCGAGAUUUGGCGUUGACAAGUAAUUUCUUCUCUUACUCUGAUUUGCUUUGUUGUUGUUUUUAAUCUAAUUGAGAAGCAUAAAUAGCAUUUUGAAUCAAGCUGUAUAUCAGAAAUCUGUAAUACAUAUUUUCUAUUAUUCCGAUUUUCAUAUCUUAAGAAUAUACGCUUUUAAUUUGUGAUUUGGGUAACGUUACUGUAAAACAUUAUUAAUGCAAUAACCUUUCGAGGUCGCGACUAUAAAAUGGUGAGAAUGGUGAGAAUGGUGCCCCUUGAAUAAACUUGUCGUGACUGAACUUUGGUUGGCAGUUGGCCGUGAAUGGAGCCCCUUGAAAAUAUUCCCAACCCAUUGCACUGCAAUUACGAUCGUAAGUACGAUUGCACUGCAAUUUCGAAGCUUCUUCUCCUGCAUUUUUGUUAUUUGCUAUGAAGUGAUAUUCGUAAGUAUGAUUGCAUUAAGCUGCUGCUGGGAGAUAUGAGGUUUUGAUGGCUGCCCAUGCUAUUGUUAGAAGCUGCGGUUCUUUUUCAUCAGCCUGAACCUGGACCUGUCGUUUCCACUGUUUUGAAACUCUUAAGAUUAAACUUUAGUAAAGUUGUUUUAGUUAUCGAUGUAAUCAGGCUGAGGAUACUUAGCUGCCUAUUUAGGCAAAUGUCAGAAUUUAGUUUGUUCGCUGGGAACUGGUGUGGUAACAGCGUCCUGGCAAAGGAUGAUGAGAUAGUUUUUUGAUUGAGUAAAUUUUGGAAGCUUGAGUGUAUUGGGAUUUGCAAUUACAAUCAUCCUCUGCCUCAGGUGAUUUCUUCUCCUGCCCUAUCGUUGUUUGUUCUUUAAUUCAAAGUUAUAAAAUAUUUCAAUCAAAUUUUAUGCCAGGAAUAUGCAAAAGUUUCUAAUAUUUUAUUUCCAUCUGUUUGCCUUGAUAACUUUGCGGCAUAUGUGCUAGUUAAAGAACAAAUCGAAACAGAGCUCAGUUAAAAGUUUCUUCUGCCGUCAUAUUUGAAAAAUGAAACCAUUUCCAAGAAGCAAUGGGUGUUAAGGAAGCUCACAUGAGCAGAGUAGUCAGUGGAGCAGAGGAUUGCAACACCUGCAGCUUGCUGUUACAGGUUGAUGACAUGGCUUGCCAGCUGGAGCCUGGUGGUUAUAUAGUCUCUUGCACACGUGAAGAUUAACAGAGUUUGUUAUAGUAUUUCUUGUGCUUGUAAUUCGGUUUUAAUUAGUUAUAACCAGCUGAUUAGCACUUGCAAUUAGUUGAGAAUUAGUUCUAAUUACUACUGAUGUAUAUAAACAGAAGUAUGUACAGAUUCAGUCAAUUAAUGACUUGAGAUAAUAAAAACGAAGAAAGAGUUUUAGAAUUCUCUUAUUUUCCUUUAAGUUUUCUCUGUUUCCAAACAUCAUUGAAUUGUUACUUGGUAUCAGAGCCAACCAAUAAUGGCGUCUGUUAAUCUUGCUUCUUCUUCCUCAAUUCCAACUCUUAAUCAUGCUACAAAUUCAACAACUGUUUCCUUUACCUUUAACACACCAGUCAAGCUUGAUUAGUCCAAUUGUCUCAUAUGGCGAUCUCAAGUCCUAGCCUCAAUUCGUGGAAACAGGCUCGAAAAGUUUAUUGAUGAUGCAGUCACUCCACCUCCAUCUCAUAUAGCUCAGAGAGUUGAUGAUGAACUCAGAUCUGUGGAGAAUCCAGAAUUCGCAACAUGGAGAUCUCAAGAUCAGGUGCUGCUUGGAUGGCUGCUCUCUUCGAUGAGUGAAGGAAUCAUCAGUCUAGUGUUUAACCUGGAAUCAUCACUUGAAGUGUGGAAAGCUAUUAAGGUACAAUUUGGCUCGCAAUCUAAAUCCAGACUUUUACAUCUGAGAUACAUGAUGAAUUCAACAAGGAAAGAUUAUAUGAAAAUCAUAGACUAUUUUAUUAAGAUGAAAAACAUAGCUGAUAAUAUGGCAGCAGCAGGAAGUGCUUUAAGUAGUGAUGAUAUGAUUUUACAUGUAUUAUCUGGCCUAGGACCAGAUUAUAAUUCAGUAGCUACUUACAUUACUGGUCAAGUAGGAGUUGGUAAAAUGAAUGUAAAUGAAGCCUAUGCUAUGCUGUUAACUCAAGAGGCUAGGAUUGAACAACAAUCACAAAUGCUUGCUGGUGUGGAUAUGAAAAACAAUUUUGAGGCAAAUUAUGCUCAAAACAGAGGAGUAAAGAAGGGAAACAUAUCAGGUGGAAGAGGUUUUGGUGGUUAUGGCUAUAACUCUGGGUUUGGAAAAGGUGGUUAUUACAAAGGAAACUUUGGCACUGAAUCUGCUGGUGGUGGUACUGGUUUUAAUAGUCAGUUCAAAGGUUAUCAAUCUGGUAAUCAAAGAGGAGGAGGAGGAGGAAACUGGAACAAUAACACUAGAAUUAACAAUUUUAACAAUGGGAAACCACCUAUGAACUCUAAACCUCAGUGGAAUACUUCUAAACCUACCUGCCAAAUCUUCCUCAAGCCUGGACAUACUGCAAACAUUUGUUGGAAGCUGGAAGAAUUCAUUGCUUCAGGCUCUUACAGAUCACCUCCAAAUAGAGGACCAAAGGCUGCCUAUUUAGCCAACAUGGAUGCUCCAGCUGAUACAAAUUGGUAUCUUGACAGUGGUGCUACACACCACCUCACUAAUGAUAUGAGCAAUAUGAAUAUGGCUGAACCUUUUACAGGUAUUUCUAAACUUGUCAUUGGUAAUGGUGUUGGUUUAUUCAUAACACAUACAGGUUCUGCUGUUUUGAGAAUGAAAAGCUCUAUAAAUCAUGUUGAUCUUAAGCUAAACAAUAUUCUUCUUGUGCCUAAAAUAACCAAAAACCUGAUAAGUAUAUCAAAACUAACCAGAGAUAGUGAUGUUGUGGUAGAAUUUACUAAUGAUUUCUGUUUUGUUAAGGACAAGGUGAGGAAUUUGAUCAUGCUGCAGGGCAAAGCUGAAAAAGGAUUAUACAGAUUGCUAUUAGUCUCCUCAAAUAAAACCUCUCCUUAUCUGUCAAACCAAGGUCUUUUUGCUCAUGUUCAGUCAGCUGUCUCAACUCAACCUAUUUCCAAGUUUUCUGUUGUUGAUUCUAAAUGUCAGAAUAAAAUUGCUUCUCAGUUACAAACUGAAGCACAAUGUAGUCAAAACUCAGAUUGUAUGUUGAGUACUAUGGUUUUACACCAAAGAUUAGGUCAUCCCAAUGCUAGAGUGUUAAAUCAUGUUAUCAAUUCUUGUCCAUCUUUUAAAACCAUCGAUGGUAAUAAAGGUUUUGAUUCUUGUGAUGCUUGUAAGUUGGGAAAAAUGCACAAACUUCAUUUUCCAGUAACUGAAACUAAAACCAAAAAUGCACUUGAAAUCUUACAUACAGAUCUAUGGGGGCCUGCUCCUACACUUUCUAUACAAGGAUAUAAAUAUUAUAUCAACUUUGUAGAUGAUUACACAAGAUUCACCUGGAAUUUUCCUUUAAAAACCAAAGCUGAAGCAUUUCCAGUGUUCAAAGUUUUCAAAGCUCAAGUAGAGAAACAAUUAGAUAAACCUAUCAAGUGUCUUCAAUCUGAUUGGGGUGGUGAGUAUAGAUCAUUUGUUCAUUUUCUUCAAACAGAGGGGAUUCAGUUUAGACACUCCUGUCCCUAUACCCACAAUCAAAAUGGACUUGUGGAAAGAAAACAUAGACACAUCACUGAGUUGGGUUUAACCUUGCUUGCACAAGCCAAGUUACCUAUAAAAUUUUGGUGGGAUUCUUUUCAUACAGCUACCCAUAUUAUAAACAAACUUCCAACUCCUGUUCUUUCCUUGAAAACCCCUUAUGAAUAUCUAUUCCAUCAAAAACCAGACUAUCCAUUUCUCAAAACUUUUGGUUGUGCUUGUUUUCCUUUCUUAAGAGAUUACAAUCAUCACAAGUUUCACUUCCAUACUUCUAAAUGUGUCUUCUUAGGAUACAUCCCUUUACACAAAGGCUACAAGUGUCUUCAUCCAUCAGGAAGAAUUUACAUAGCUAGUCAUGUUCUUUUUUAUGAAACUUCCUUUCCAUAUUCUACUGAUUCUACCUUCUUACAGUCUAUGCCAUCUAAAUCUUCUGACUUCUUUUAUAAUUCCUUACAAGUAUAUCACAUCUCAGUUCCUAAUAGCAAUCAGAAUCCUUUAGCAGCUGCUCCUGCAGAUACAGAUUCUCAUGCCUCCAGUUCUACUCACAACAUCAUCUCCCUUCCUAUUCCUACAUCACAAGUAAAUUCCACCUCACUGAUUUCACCAAAUAAUACUAUAUCUUCACCCAUUGUCCACACAACAUCACCAGCUGCUACCAUAAACACUAUACCAAACACUACAACUUUACCUGCAAUACUACAAAAUUCACCUUCCAGAUCACUUCCCUCAGCUGCAACCAUAAACACUCAUUUUAUGAUUACCAGAGCUAAAGCUGGCAUAUUCAAACCAAAGGCCUUCUUGACAGAUCAUAACAGCCUAGAACCUUCCAAUGCUGGAGAAGCCUUAUCUGAUACUAAGUGGAAGGCAGCAAUGCAAGAUGAAUAUAAUGCUCUCAUUAGAAACAAAACCUGGAGCUUAGUACCAAUGAAUCCAGAAUACAAGUUAGUAGGCUGCAAGUGGGUCUUUAGAACUAAAUACAAUACUGAUGGUUCAGUCUCUAAGUACAAAGCUCGCUUAGUUGCAAAAGGGUUUCACCAAACUGCUAGGAUAGAUUACUCAUAAACUUUUAGUCCUGUAGUGAAAUCUUCUACUGUCAGAGUUAUUCUUAGCUUGGCAGUCAUGCAAGGCUGGAAUGUUAGACAAAUUGAUGUCAAUAACGCAUUUCUUAAUGGGAAUCUCACUGAGGAUGUAUACAUGCAACAGCCAGAGGGUUUUGUUUCAGAGGGAGGAUACAUCUGUAAACUAAACAAAGCUCUUUAUGGCUUAAAACAAGCUCCAAGAGCCUGGUAUGAUAAGCUUAAGGGAUGUCUUACAAGCUGGAAAUUCACUAAUUCUAAGGCUGAUACUUCUCUGUUUAUCAGGCAUGAUGUCAAAGGCAUAAUUCUUGUCUUAAUAUAUGUGGAUGACAUUCUGAUCACUGGACCAGAUUCAGACUUGCUGGAAUCUUUUAUUGCUAAGCUCAGCAAAGUUUUUGCAUUAAAAGACUUGGGUCUAGUAACAUAUUUCCUUGGUGUAGAAGUCAGCUAUACAGAUCAUGGAAUGCAUCUCUCUCAGACUAAGUACAUCAAGGAUAUGCUGUCCAAAGCCUCAAUGCAAGACUGCAAAGGAACUGACACUCCUUUCAGCACAGGCUACAAGUUGGAAAGGUCAGCAAAAGGCCUAUUGGGUGCUGAAUUUGAGAAUCCAACCCUCUAUAGAAGCAUUGUUGGAGGUUUGCAAUACUUAAUCUUAACCAGACCAGACAUUGCAUAUUCAGUGCAUAAGCUUAGUCAGUACCUCAGUGCUCCUACACUUCAACACUAGUUAGCUUGUAAAAAAGUGCUCAGAUACCUUCAAGCUACUGUCACAUAUGGUCUCUAUAUUCAACAGGAGGGAACUCUGGAAACUAUAGGACUAACAGGAUAUUCAGAUACUGAUUAGGCAUGUGAUAUUGAUGACAGAAAAUCCAUUGGAGCAUAUUGCAUUUUCCUUGGUAAUAAUUUGGUUUCCUAGUCUUCAAAAAAGCAAGCCGUUGUAGCAAAAUCUAGUACUGAGAGUGAAUACAGAGCCUUGUCAGCAGCCAGCUCUAAACUUUCUUGGCUAUAAUCAUUAUUCUCUGAGCUCAACAUCACAAAAUUACCAACUUCUGUUCUAUGGUGUGAUAACCAGAGUGCUGGAGAUCUAGCUAGAAAUCCAGUUUUUCAUUCAAAAUCAAAACACAUAGAGCUAGACAUUCAUUAUAUUAGAGACAAGGUUCUUAACAAUGAAUUGGAAGUGAGGUACAUUCCCACUGAAGAGCAAGUUGCAGAUGUUCUUACUAAGCCCCUGUCAUUUCCUAAGUUUAGUUAUUUUCGUUCCAAACUCAAUGUGUUCAGUAGACCCUUGAGCUUGAGAGGGGAUGUUAAGGAAGCUCACAUGAGCAGAAUAGUCAGUGGAGCAGAGGAUUGCAACACCUGCAGCUUGCUGUUACAGGUUGAUGACAUGGCUUGCCAGCUGGAGCCUGGUGGUUAUAUAGUCUCUUGCGCCCGUGAAGAUUAGCAGAGUUUGUUAUAGUAUUUCUUGUGCUUGUAAUUCAGUUUUAAUUAGUUAUAACCAGCUGAUUAGCACUUGCAAUUAGUUGAGAAUUAGUUCUAAUUACUACUGAUGUAUAUAAACAGAAGUAUGUACAGAUUCAGUCAAUUAAUGACUUGAGAUAAUAAAACGAAGAAAGAGUUUUAGAAUUCUCUUAUUUUCCUUUAAGUUUUCUCUGUUUCCAAACAUCAUUGAAUUGUUACUAUGGGCAGCAAAUUCAUAUAAAGCGUAGACAAUGGUGAUCAAAAAGGUGAUUCACAAUUUCACUUUUUUUAAUGAAAUUAAUUGUUUGGUUGGAGCUGAUAUUGUUAGAAGGCCAUUGAGCUAACCUAUGUCACUACUUGCCUAGAUUACAGGGGGUCAAAACUCAAAAGAGGCAUUGAAUUUUAAAAGGCAUCCAAUAAUUCUUGUGGCCAUAUAUCAAUUCAUGUAAGUUUGAAUGUAAUUAUUGGUGAAGGGGUUUCACUUCCCGUCUCUAAAUAAAAAUACUGAUUCUUUAAGGUACAUGCCACUAGGGAUUGCGAGAUUAACGAGUCUUUGGACAUUGGAAGAGCUUCUUGUGAGUGGAGGAGGAGGUGUUCAUGUGUAGCAAAGCAUGUGGGCAGUGGGCUUGAAUCUCUUAAAAACUUGGAACUCCUCCAAGCGUAAGUAUACGUAUACUGGGAAAUGUGUUAGAUGUGGAUGAGGCUAAGAGAUUAGAGCUUGACAAAAUGAAAUACCUCUGUCAUUGAGACUUAAAUUUGAUGGGGAAGAAGAAAAAGAAUAGGGAAGGAGAAAGAAUGAGAAUAAUCAACUUGUUCUUGAAGCCUUGCAACCACCUCUGAAUUUGAAGGAAUUAGAGAUUUGGUCAUACAGAGGCAACAUUGUUUCCCCCCGGAUGAUGCAAAAGUUGAAGGAAUUUACCAAUCUAAGGAGUUUGACACUCUUUAAAACUGCAAAAAUUGAGAGCAGUUGCCUUCUUUGGGAAAAUUGUGAUCCUUUGAAAAUCUCAGCAUAUUGUACAUGGAGAGUGUGAAAACAGUGGGUAAUGAAUUUAUGGGAAUAGAAAGUGAUCUUCAUGACUCAUCUUCAUCUUCAUCAGUUAUUAUUGCCUUCCCCAAAUUGAAAUCACUUUCAGUUGAGGGAUUGAUGGAAUUGGAGGAGUGGGAUUAUGGGAUUAAAAGAACAGGAAACACCUUCACCAACAUUAUGCCACGUCUUUCUUCCUUGGAAAUUAGUGUGGGGUUAUGGGAUCGCACAACGACGUUGAAGGUAUUGCAGAUUGUGGCAUGUGGUACUCUAAGAAGACGUUACAGACAGGGGAGAGCAGAAGACUGGCCUAAAAUGCUAAUGUGGAGUACAAUCAUAAAAUGCUAAUGUGGCCACCCUGGUUCUUAAUUAAGGUUGUGCAUAUUAUUGUAAAAGAUGAUUAAUUCAAUUUGAGUCAUUCGUUUGCUUUGAUAAUGAUAGUAAUUUUAUAUUUUGACAAUUUGCAAGGUGAGAAUGGUGCUGAUUGGUGAUACAGGAUAUGGUUCAAACACCAUUGAAUAAAGCUACGGACAUGGUGGCUCAACUUAGCUAGAUUGCUGUCAAAAUUGGUAAGUUGGCUUGUCAAUGUAUUGAUGCUUUUGUUUUCUCUCAACCCUAAUUACCUUACCUUCAUUUAGUUUGGCUUUGGAGUUGAGUAAUAACUUUCAAGGUUCUCAAACAGAGCAGGACAACCGAAAAAAAAUAGCUUAAUUUGCUGCAGAUCACGUGUUACCAAUUAUUUAAGGUAAUUCUCGUUUACUUGCUUCUACACUAUAGAGUACGUGUUCUGGCUGGUUUAUGUAAUUCAUCAAAUGUUAUUUCCUUAUUGUUCCAUUGAUAUGUUUGUUAGAAAGUGAAACCAUUUCCAGGCAGCAGUUGGCAGUGAAUUCAUGCAAAUGUUGAUGCCAUUCAUAGAUAUUGAAGACAAUGAUGAGCCAAAGGUGAUAAAUCAUUAAUGCAUAGUUACCAAAACCUCCAUCCUUCUCUCAUUGUAAUUUGAUUUGAAAUGAAUAAUUGCUAGGUAAUUGAAGCCAAUAUUGUUAGAAACGGUGUUGAGCUACCCAAGCUAAGAAGUUAGCUGCCAAAAAAUGCAGGGGAUCAAAAGAAGCAUUGCAGUGCUACAAUGAAGCUACUGGGAAAUUUAAAUCCCAUAUUAGACUUUCCUCACAUCAGAAGCUGUGGAUCUUCGGACAUCAGGUUUUUUCACAGUUCUGAAACUCUCAGGAUUAAACUCUAUUAAAGUUGUUGUAGUUGUCUACGUUCUCAGGUCAAGGAUUCUAAGCUGCCUAUUAAGGCAAAAUGUCAGAAUUCCCCUAUUAUUUUUUUUUCAUGUAAAAUUAUGUUGUUGUCUUCGCCCAUGAAUCUUAGCUAAAUUCUGAACCAAUUGUUUGCUAUUAUAAAUUUCAUUGUUAAAUAUUAAUUGUGAUGUUGGUGUUGAGUUUCUUUUAAAGUCACAGAAGCCUGACGAUUGAGUUCCGUGAUUCUGAGAAGCAGUAAUAUUUUGAACAAGUGAAGGUUCUUCGUUUUUAAUUAUGUUCUGCACCUUUACAGUAUGAGUAAAUGUCUAAGAGGCGAGAUUUUAAUUUCUGUAAAUGCUAAAUUUCGCAAAACAAUAAAAAAAUAAAUGCAUGACAGUGACUUCAAGAAAUUAGAUUAUUGAAUUUGGCCAUUUUAAAAUUGAACCAGAGCUCAGAAAUGUAGAAUAUAAAUAUUGGAGAUUUGAACUUCAAUCAUUAGAUUUGAAGCUAAAGAGGUAAGCCAUUAAUUACAUCAAAUGAUUUGGAAAAUGGAGGAAUUGUAAAAAGGAAACUUUUUCUUUGUCCGAUUCAAGAGGAACAAGAGUAGCCUAAGAUAUUAAAGACAAUGUUGAGGCAAAGGAAACAUAAAUCCCAACCAUUGCAUGUGAACAUGAUCACAAUAAAUCCCAACCAUCCAAACCAUUUUUUUGAGAAUUUUCAAUUGAAAGUGAAACCUUUUGACAUUUACCUAAUAAAGUAAGUUAAACGAGAGAAAUAAAGGGGGGAAAAAAAAGUUGACUCAAGUCAAUACAGAAUUAUUAGUUCAACCUAGAGUAACUAAAACAGAGCCACUUGAGUUUCAAAAAUAUCUGCAUUCAUCACCUUCUCCAACAGCUUAUGAGCUACACACGAAUCAUUUCCUUUUAGCAUUUUUGCAGCAGCAAUUUCUCCCCUCGUUUGUCAUCAAUUUCUCCCUUCUCUUGGGGAAAAAAGGGCAGUUGUAAAUUACAUUAUUUGUAACUUUGGCGGACUCUUUAUAUAACACAAAUUCUAUCAUUUAAAGAAAUUAUAAUGAUGCAAUCGUUUCCCCUCUCUUGGAGCAGCUGAUUAUCUUUGCUGCUGAAGAGAUGAGACAACAGGGGAAGCUGGUGAGUGUUGGAUGAGCGGAUCACAGCAUGCGCCAAAUUGCAAAUUGAGAGCGGCAUUGAUGACAAUGCUCUUGGUGCUCCUUAUCUGAAGAAGAAGGUAUAUUCCUGCUUUCCUGCUUCUUGCUUUGGUUUCAAGCAAGUCUUUCACUGUCAUAACAUUUAUUGUAAUUUCAUUUGGAGAUAUGUAAUAUCUGUUGUACAGAUAUAUUUCAUACACCAGCUGUUAAUAAUUCUGCCUGCAGAGAACUUACAAAGGAGCUGUGUGAUGUAAUAGAAGACUAUGUAGUCUGGUCAAUUUUUUCAACCUUAGAUAUUAGGAAGUUAUGUAUUUCAUUAUCAGUUAUCAUUAUGAUUUUCAUCUUCAAAAAGAUAAAUGGAUGGCUUUGAAUGGCUUGUGUUUGAGGAUUUUAGUUUGACUUAUCUUGAUUGAAGUACUUUUUGACAAUAGAAUUCCUUCAUGAUUUAAACAUUCUUUUGAAAACCAAAUAAUAAAAAAAUAAAUAAACUAACAAAUAUUAUUUUAUUAGUGCUCUUUUCAUCAAAUAUACAUAAGAGUAUUGUAAUUUAUAGCAACUAAUUUUUCAUUAAAUACACCCAUAACAAACUAUUAAAAAUAAAGUGAUAGAAAAAUGCCUAAUUUUUCAUACUUUCUAAUUUCUUUUGGCCCUAAAAUAUGGGUAUUUAUGCCAUAAUAAGCCCAUGUAGAUCUCAAUGCCGAAAGUUCGAUAAAUGGCUUUCAAGGAUUGAUAAUUAUCUAUUAACAUUCUUAAUUAUAUUCAGUUAAAAUAUUAAUAUUAAAUACAUUCUUAAUAUUAAUAUUCUUGGAUGAAUUUCUUUGUGGAUUUAAGAAUAAAAUAUUAAAUAAUUUUAUUUUUCUUUUAUUCCGUAACUUAGACCAAAAAAGGAAAUGAGUUUCCCAAGGACUUCUCAUGUUUCCCAUCCUCCAUACUGUGCAGAGGAGUUUAGCACCCAUCAACUUUUAUUUUUUAAAACUCAUAAUGGCCAAUGAAUAAAGCUGUGGUGGCUGAACUUAGGUUGAUGUCAAAGAGGUAAUUGAAUUGGCCUGUUAAGAUGGAUGCUUUUUGUUGAUCAGGCGACAGAGCAGGACUAUGAAAAAGACAAGCUUAUUACCGGUAACUCAAGUUUACUUGCUUGUUAUAUAAUAUGCUUUUUGUCACCGAAUUUCAUUUCCAGUACGUCUCCAUCGGUAUCAAGAAGAAACAGAACUCAAAGAAAUAUUUUUUCAAUCUUCAUAUUUGUCUGAAUUCGUCCUUUCAUUAAGAAUAACCAUUUUCAGGCAGCAGUUGGCACUGAAUUCACGCAAAUCUUGAUGCCAUUCGUAGUCGCAGACAUUAAAGACAAUGAUGAGCCAAUGGUGAUUAAUCAUAAAUGCAUAAUUAACAAACUUCCGUCCUUCUCUCAUUGUAAUUUGAUUUGAAAUUAAUUAUUGCUAGGUAACAUUAAUUCCAACCAUUGCAAGAUUUUUCCCUUAACAUAAUUCGGUAACAUUUAAUUGCAUGUGAAAUUGAUCAUAAUACCGUGAAGGACCUACCAAAACUUUUUUUUGAGAAAUUUCGAUUGAAAGUGAAACCUUUUGACGUUUACCUAAUAAAUUUAGUAAAUCUGGAAAAAAAAAAAAGUUGACACAAGCCAAUGCAGAAUAAUUAAUUAAAUCUGGAGUGACCACAUUUUCAAAAAUAUCUGCAUUCAUCACCUUCUCCAACAGCUAGUCAGCCACACACUGUUGGGGAAAAAUUAGGUUUUUAAAUUUUAUAAAACCUUUUGAAGAUCGCUCUCAUAUAAUAUAUAAGAAUUUGUAUUCUAGAAAUCGUACCUUGAAAAUCCGAGUUGGCUUUUUCCGCUGAAGUGAUUUAGGCUCCUAGAUCACGAUCCGCCACCACCACUCCUGUUAGAUCACAAUCCGUCACCACCACGCUUGUUAGAUCACGAACUGUCUCCAAUGAUCUUCCAAGUUAUAACUCAGGUUCGAUCUACACUUGACGUGUGGGUGCCUUUAUCACUACCAAAGCAACUAGCACGAGAAAAUUUUUCUUCAAUAGAGAGAAAAAUCUUAUUCUCCGAUUUGUAUAAAGUGGCUUCUACCUUUUCUUUAGAGAAAAAUAAGCUUUUUAUAUCACCCUUUAGUGAAAACCCUAGGCUCCAAAUAAUGCCCAAAAUAAAACUCACGUUACUUUUCAUUUAAUAGGGGACCCACCAUGUAAAAUAACAUAAGGCCCUUUACACAUAAGCUAAUUAAAUGGAGCCUCUUACUAAAUGAUAUAUUUAGGCUUUUGACCCAAAUAACUAGUUAUCUUGCUUAUUAGUCCAGUAGUGGUGCAGUCAAUUAAAUGAGCUAACCCGGGGAUCAUUUGGGAACAUACAAUAAUGGCUACAAUAAUUAGGCCUGUAAUUAAACUAGCCCAAUUAUUUAAUUUCAAAUCUACUCCACUAAAAGAUUGGAACUGACUUCCAUAAUUGCAUGCUCGAAUAAUAAUUCGUCCCAAGCCACAUUGAUUUCUUUACUGCACAAUCCUUUGUACCACAUCGUUAAUUAAAUUGAUAUCUCAACUGUCCAAUCAAUUUAAUAACAUCUUAUUCCUUGAUCCUUACUGAUUUUUUCUAAUGAUCAUUUUCAACAUACUAAAUAUGUUGACACACUCUGGCCAGAGAAUUCUAUGAUCAAGUGCCGAAAAUCUAUCAAGAGAUGUGUUGUACAAAUUCUAUAUUGUCAAUCCAUAACUCCAAUACUCAUAAUUGCUCCCACCAAGAUACCGGGUAAUCUUGACCACAAGGAUGUGUCGUGCCCAUUGGUAACUCAAAUGGAAUAACAAUUACAAUCAUGAAAUCAUAAUUAACUCAAGAUUAAGAUUACAGUAAAAUCAACGCCUAUGAGAUUUAAUAAGUCUGACAGUUAUUACAAAGUUAAUUAAAUCUCAUAUGUGAUCCUGUUCAAUGUAGUCGUACUACAUCAAUAAAUUCAUACAUGAUUAAGACAAAUCAUUCAAUGAAUUUAUUACAGUCUAUACCUAAAUAAAGUGCCCAACUUUAUUUAUCAACUGCAAACAAAAUUUAUUUAAUCAUAAGAUAACUUGUAUUUAUGUCUUCUGUGAAUCCACAUGGUGAUCACAUAAAUACAUAUAAUAUGAUUAAAUGGACUUUAAUAAAAAUAUUAAUACAAUUAAGAUAUUUGAAUAAAAUACCUCAUUAAUUUUAUUAAUCAGAAAAAAUGUUUAUUACAAUUAAAUAAACACAUAUGCUUUUAAAGAGCAUAUUUUCCCAACAAUCUCCCACUAGCUCUCAAAGCAUAUCUGGCAUAUUGCACAUGCUUUCGGGCUCUAAGUGCAGGUUAUAAAGGUUUCCCACUAAUGGCCAUUGUAAUAAGAUCUGCCAUUUAGCAUCUAAUGCCAUUUAGGGUACUGUCAUAUAACCUUUCUACACUAUUCCCUUAUAAGAUGAUACUUCAUGUCAGUAUGUUUUGUUUCUUGUGGUUCCUUAGAUUGAGCUACUGCACCACCAUUAUCACAAAAUAGUUUAAGGGGUGUAGUUACAACAGGUACCACCUCAAGAUUUUGUAGGAACUUGCGGAGCCUAUAUAGCUUCUUUUGCAGCUUCAGAUGUAGCCACAUAUUCAGCUUCAGUUGUGGAGUCUGUGAUACAAGAUUGUUUCACACUCAUCCAACUAAUAGCUCCACUUCCUAAUGUAAACACAUAGCCGGAAGUUGAUUUUCUAAAAUCCUUAUCUGACAAAAAAUCAGAAUUAGUAUAACUCACUAGAAUAAGUUCAUCACCAGAAUACACAAGCAUAUAAUUUUUAGUUCUUUUCAGAUACUUUAUAAUAUGCUUGACUGCAGUCCAGUAUUGAGGUCCAUGAUUAAAUUGAUAUCUGCUAACCAUCCCUACCGAAAAACAGAUGUCUGGCCUAGUGCAAAGCAUGGCAUACAUGAGACUUCCCACAGCUUCUGCAUAGGGAACUCAUCUCAUUCUCUCUAUCUCUUCAGAUGUUUUAGGUGAUUGAUCCUUAGAGAAUGUAAUUCCAUGUCUGAAUGGUAAUAAACCAGUCUUGGAAUUUUCCAUGCUAAAUCUAGCCAAUAUCUUAUCGAUAUAGACCGCUUGAGACAAGGCUAAAGUUUUAUUCUUCCAGUCUCGUAGUAACUUGAUACCAAGAAUAUAACUUGCCUUUCCCAGGUCUUUCAUAUCAAAUUGUUUUGCUAACCAAAUCUUUAUUGUAGUCAAUACAUAUAAUAUGAUUAAAUGGACUUUAAUAAAAAUAUUAAUGCAAUUAAGAUAUUUGAAUAAAAUACCUCAUUAAUUUUAUUAAUCAGAAAAAAUAUUUAUUACAAUUAAAUAAACACAUAUGCUUUUAAAGAGCAUAUUUUCCCAACACACACGAAUCAUUUCCUUUUAGCAUUUUGCAGCAUCAAUUUCUCUCCUGUUAAUCUGGAGGAAUCCGUCAGACUUUGGCUGGAUCGGCUCAAGUACGCAUCCUACGACAUUGAAGAUGUGUUGGAUGAGUGGAUCACAACAAGAGCCAAAUUGUAAACAAGAGGUUGAUGACAAAUAUAUCUGUUGCUUCUCAUCUGAAGAAGAAUGUAUCUUCCUGCUUCCCUGCUUUUUGCUUUGGUAUCAAAUAAGUCUUUCUCCGUCAUAACAUUUAUUGUAAUUUCAUAUGAGAUAUUACAUAAUAUAUCUGUUGUUCAAAUAUAUUUUAUAUACAAGCUGUUAAUACUUAUGCUUGCAGAAAGCUUACAAAGGAGUUGUGUGAUGUAAUAGAAGACUACAGUCUGGUCAAUUUUCAACUUUAGAUAUUCAGGUCAUCAGUUUCUCUUGAAUUCUUUCUUGAGUUUCUUUGAAUUAUUUGUGAAUAAGAUCUUAGUUGGCUGCUCCUCUUCAGGAUAAGGAAAGUGUGGCAAAACUCGUGAAGCUGAUAGAUAAAAGCAAUGGGUAUAUCUUUGCUGGCAUGGAUGCCAGCGCAGUUGAAUUCAGCAAGGUUGCCAUUCGCGAUGUUGAUUGGGAUUACUUCAGAUAUCCCUCUUUUCACCUAUUUUCAAUCUUGUGAUUCUCAUUUUCAUAAAACAUUUUGGUUAUUUAAUUAUGGCUCAUUGUAUGCAUCUGCAUCCUCUAACUUGUUCGUUUGAGAAACAAAUUUUGCUGUUAGGUAGGCUUCAAGCUUGAUUCAUGCUUUUUCCAUAAAUGUACCAAAAUCAUGGAAACAUCUUUUUCCCAGAUAUUGUAUCCACACUUUUCCCAUCUAAAAGACAAGUUUUGCUUAACAAAGAAAUCUACAGUAGCUGAAGUGCAGGAGAAGUACAUUAAGGAUGAUGACGAUGUUAACUAAAAGGGAACGCGAAGAUAUGUGGUGUGCAAAUCGUAAGCAAGCUGUGAGUUGAAUGAAUAAAGUUUGGUUUCCAGAAACGACCACGUUUUGGAGCUGUAAAACCUUCAUUAGUCACGUGCUGCUGUUCUUAACUGAAAACGAUUUAGUCGAAACGACAUGGGUGGAGCGCGUUUUACAUAUCAGUUUAAGUUAACCACAUGAGGAAGCAUGUGAUGAAGGUUAUUCUGAGUUUGUUAAAGGUUGUUAACCACGUGUCAACGAGCUGUACAAUCUAGAAAUCAAGUUGGCUGCCUAAACAGAGUAUAAAGGCUAGGUUUUGGGGAAAUUCAGGAACGAAUUUCAUGAGUCUUGCUGUGAGGGUUUUGUGAGAGAGAAAGUAUUAACUUGUUCUUUGUAAAGUCUGGUGGAAGGCUCUGUAACAAUCUCCAUUGUUGAUUCAAUAAAGCUCAUCUUGAGGCUUCUCCAAUGGAUGUAAGCUGAGCAUUCCAUGCUCAACUGAACCACGUUAAAUCUUGGUUUCUGUGGGUUUCUUGUUUCUAGUUCUUGUUCUUUUUGUUAUUGAGUGAGUUUGUCUAAUUAGAUCUUGGGGUUGUGCAACUUGCAUUGACUAGAUCACUAGCAUCCUGGGCAGUGAUCAAUUUAGCUUGGUUUAAAGGCUUGCUGUUCACUACAAUUGGUACUAGAGCUUGGUGUUCUGUGAUCAAGUCCAAGUAUGGUGUCUUCUAAGGUCGAUGUAGAAAAAUUUACAGGCAAGAAUGACUUCAAUAUGUGGAAGAUGAAAAUGGAAGCCUUGCUGAUCAUUUAGGGUUUGGGAGAUGCAAUUGAGCCUGAAAUGAAGGAAGGUAAAGGGGUUUCUUCAUCAAAGACUCCAGAGGAAGUUGUUGAAAUCCACAAAAAGGUCAGAAGUACAAUAAUCCUGAGUCUUGGUGAUUCAGUCAUUAAAGAAGUGGCCAAAGAUAAGACAGUUGCUGGAUUAUAGAGCAAACUGGAAAGUCUUUAUAUGACCAAGUCACUUGCAAACAGACUCUACAUCAAGAAAAGGAUGUUUACACUAAAAAUGGUGGAAGGAGCUUCACUGGAAGAACACAUCGAUGAGUUUAACAAGGUAUGUGAUACCCUGGAAACCAUUUAUGCUACUCUGGAUGAUGAGGGGAAGACUCUCUUGCUAAUCAAUUCAUUACCAAAAUCCUAUGAAAAUUUGGUUGAUGCCCUGAUGUAAGGAAGACAAACCCUAACACUUGAUGAAGUUAAAUCUACCCUAAAUACAAGGGAACUUCAAACUAAACAAGGGCAUUUGGAGAAUAAUAGAAGUGAAUGACUGAUAAUAAAGGUGAAAACUGACAAGAAGAAGAAGAAAGGCAAAUCCAAGAACAAAGAAAGAGACCUAAAAUGCUUUCAGUCUCACAAAGAAGGCCAUUUUAAGAGGGAUUGCCUUGAAAAGAGAUUCAAGCCCAAAGAUUCAAGAAACCAAAGUGGAGAUGCAGCUGUAGUGGAAGAGGAAGGAUAUGAGUCUGCUGGUGUAUGUGUGGCAAUAGAAAACAGCCAAAAAGGUAAAUGGGUUCUGGACUCUGGAUGCACUUUUCACAUGUGCCCUUUUAGAAAUUACUUUAAUAAAUAUCAAGAUUUUGAUGGAGGUAGAGUAAUUAUGGGAAAUAACUCUAUUUGUAAAAUCAUUGGAAUUGGGGAUGUAAGCCUUAAGCUACAUGAUGGUUCAAUAAGAGUGCUUAGGCAAGUCAGGCAUGUGCCAGACUUGAAAAGAAAUCUAAUUUCUCUUGAGGUGUUGGACCAAAUAAGGUGUAGAAUUAAGCUUGAAUCUGGAGAAUUGAGUGUUUUGAAUGGUUCAAAUCUAGUCAUGAAAGGGACGAGGAAGAAUGGAGUUUACAUCUUAGAUGGUGAGGUGAUAUCUGGAGUAGCUGAUGUAUCCAUUAAGCAUGCUAAAGAUAAAACCAGGUUAUGGCAUCCAAGGUUAGGGCACAUGAGUGAGAGAGGAUUAAAAGAGUUAGAAAAACAAAGGUUGUUUGGUUCUGACAAGAUUGGUAAUCUAGAGUUUUGUGAAGAUUGUGUUCUAGGGAAGUCUUCAAGAGGCAGCUUCAAUAGAUCUAGUCAAAAAUCAAAUGAGAGGUUGGAUUAUGCACACUCAGACUUGUGGGGGCCUGCACAGUGUGUAUCUCUGCGAGGGAAUAAGUAUUUUUUAUCUAUCAUAGAUGACUUCUCUAGGAAAGUUUGGGUGUAUGUGUUAAAGAACAAGGAUCAGACUUUUGAGAGGUUUAAAGAGUGGAAACAGAUGGUAGAAAACCAAACUGGUAAGAGAUUAAAGAAGCUGAAAACUGAUAAUGGUCUUGAAUUUUGCAACCAGCCAUUUGACAACUUUUGUGCAAAUAAAGGUAUUGGUAGACAUAAGACAGUAAGGAUGACCCCAUAACAAAAUGGGUUAGCUGAGAGGAUGAAUAGGACUCUAUUGGAGAAAGUAAGAUGUAUGCUGAUUUAGUCCAAGCUCCUAAAAACAUUGUGGGCAAAAAUCUUACUCACAGCAUGCUACCUUGUCAACCUAAGCCCUUCUAUUGGAAUUAAUUUCAAAACACCUUUUGAAUGUGGUCACGGAAACCUGCUGACUAUGGAAUCCUUAAAGCCUUUGGCUGCCCAACCUAUGUUCAUGUCAGUCAAGGUAAGCUAGCAGCUAAAGCCUUGAAAAGUGUUUUCAUAGGCUAUCCAGAAGGAGUCAAAUGGUUUAAAGUUUUGUGCACUGAGCUUAAUCCACCAAAAUGUAUAGUGAGUAGGGAUGUGGUGUUUAAUGUGGGGAGUUUGAUGAAGGUGAAUCAUGAACCUGAUCUGGAAACUGAAAAUUCAAGACUAAUAGAGAAACUAGAGUUUGAGGUGGAGCCAUCUACUUCCAGAAACACAACUGAAGCUGCAGAUUCAGGUGGUGUUCCUGAAAACACUGAUGACACACAGGCACCUCAAGAUCAAUCAAGUUCUCAGGAGCAAAUCAGAGAAUACCAGCUCACCAGAGAUAGACAAAAAAGGCAGAUCAAACCAACAAGGAGAUAUGGCUAUGCAGAUUUAAUAGGUUUUGCUCUAACAGUUGCAAAAGAUAUAGAUGGUGAGGAACCAAAGAAUUUUAAGGAAGCAACCCAGAGCCUGUUCAAAGAAGAAUGGCAAAGAGCUAUAGAUGAUGAAAUGGCCUCCCUCUAUAAAAACAACACAUGGGAGCUGGUCAAGAAGCCUAGAAAUAGAAGAGUGGUUGGCUGCAAAUGGAUUUUCAAAAUUAAGGAGGGCAUAAAUGGAUCUGAACCAAGGAGAUUCAAGGCUAGACUUGUGGCCAAGGGUUAUAAACAAAAGGAAGGGAUAGAUUUUAAAGAAGUAUUUUCUCUAGUGGUUAGACAUGCCUCAAUUAGAGUUAUGUUAGCCAUAACAGCUGUGCAAGACAUGGAGCUUGAUCAACUCAAUGUCAAGACAACAUUUCUGCAUGGAAGACUUGAGGAAGAAAUACCGAUGUCCCAACCUGAAGGGUAUGAGUUCCCAGGUAAAGAAGACCAUGUGUGUCAACUAAAGAAGUCACUCUAUGGGCUUAAACAGUCUCCCAGACAGUGGUACCUAAGAUUUGAUAAAUUCAUGCAACUGCAUGAGUUCAUCAAAUGUAGCUAUGACUGCUGUGUUUACUACAAGACAAUCAAGGAUGGUCUGUACAUAUACCUCCUUCUAUAUGUAGAUGACAUGUUGGUUGCUUGCAAAGAUAAAGAGGAAAUUGAUAAGCUCAAGGUGCUGCUGAAUUCAGAAUUUGAAAUGAAGGACCUGGGGUAUGCAAUGAAGAUUCUAGGAAUGGAGAUCAGAAGGAAUAUAAGUAAAGGGAUCAUGUUUCUGUCACAAGAAAAAUACUUGAAAAAAGUGUUAGAAACAUUUGACAUGAGUAAGUCUAAACCUGUGCAACUACCAUUAGCUUCACAUUUCAGGUUAAGCAAUUUGCAGUAUCCUUAAACAGAAGCUCAAAAGCAAGAUAUGGCAAAUGUGCCCUAUGCAAAUGCAGUAGGCAGCCUUAUGUAUGCAAUGGUAUUGACCAGGCCAGACAUAACUCAUGAUGUCAGUGUAGUUAGUAGAUAUAUGGCACAACUUGGGGAAGACCAUUAGAAGGCUAUAAAAUAGAUACUCAUGCAUCUCAAAGGCACUGUAAAUUGUGGUCUGAUGUAUGGCAAGACAAAAGCAAAUGAUGAGGUUUUGGAAGGGUAUGUUGACUCAGAUUAUGCAGGGGAUUUGGAUAAAAGAACGUCUCUUACAGGUUACAUAUUGAUGUUAAAUGGUUGUACUGUAAAUUGGAAGGCAACUCUACAAAGUGUAGUGGCUCUUUCAACAACUGAAGCAGAGUAUACAGCUGCUACAGAAGUUGUAAAGGAAACACUUUGGCUCAAGGGGUUGGUGACAGAGUUGGGAUUAAAUAAGAAGUCAGUAUCAAUCUGCUGUGAAAAUGGUGAAGAUUCAUACUGAUGAGAAUUCUGCAGAUGCUGUUACUAAGGUGAUUCCUGUGGAUAAGUUCAGAGCUUGCCUGGACCUAGCUGGCUUGUGCAGUCAGUGAUAUGCAUAAGGUUUGGAGAAGGAUUUAGAGUGAGGGUAAACUUUGAUUCAAGUUGGAGAAUUGUGAGUUGAAUGAAUCAAGUUGGUUUGCAUAAACGAUCGCGUUUUGGAGCUGUAAAACCUUCAUUAGCUCACAUGCUGCUCAGCUGGUUCUUAACUAAAAACGAUUUAGUUGAAAUGACAUUGGUGGAGUGCGUUUUACAUAUCAGUUUAAGUAACCACGUGAGGAAGCAUGUGAUGAAGGUUAUUCUGAGUUCAUUAAAGGUUGUUAACCACGUGUCAACGAGCUGAACAAUCUGGAAAUCAAGCUAGUUGCCCAAACAGAGUAUAAAGGUUGGGUUUUGGGGAAAUUCAGGAACGAAUUUCAUGAGUCUUGCUGUGAGGGUUUUGUGAGACAGAAAGUAUUAACUUGUUCUCUGUAAAGUCUGGUGUAAGGCUCUAUAACAAUCUCCAUUGUUGAUUCAAUAAAGCUCAUCUUGAGGCUUCUCCCGUGGAAUGCUCAGCUGAACCACGUUAAAUCUUGGUUUCUGUGGGUUUCUUGUUUCUAGUUCUUGUUCUUUUUGUUAUUGAGUGAGUUUGUCUAAUUAGAUUUUGCGGUUGUGCAACUUGCAUUGACUAGAUCACUAGCAUCCUGGGCAGUGAUCAGUUUAGCUUGAUUUAGAGGCUUGCUGUUCACUGCACAUGCCUUUUGCCUUUGUGGAUGUUCAAGCUUGUGAUUCAUGUUUGUUAAUCUAUUAUGCUCUCUUGCAGGAUUUAUAAAGUUUUCGAUCAAUCAAGCAUUUGACUCAAGUUCUUAGCUCUUCACUGCUUGAAUGGGUCAGAUAGGACAAGCGCCGAUGAGGUGGUUUUAAUCAGACCCCUCCUAAUUAUGAUGUAUGGUCCGAAUCUUGGACUUUUUGUACAAAUGUAGCUAUUGAGGACAAUGAUGAGACAAAGGUGAUCAUUCAUUAAUGCGUAAUUACCGAAACCUCCAUCCUUCUCUCAUUGUAAUUUGAUUUGAAAUGAAUAAUUGCUAGGUAAUUGAAGUCAAUAUUGUUAAAAACCGUGUUGAGCUACCCAAGCAAAGAAGUUAGUCGCCAAAAAAUGCAGGGGAUCAAAAGAAGCAUUUCAUUUGAAAAGGCAUGAGAUUCUGUUUAAAUUUGUGCUACUACGGUGCGGUAAUGCUGCUACUGGGAAAUUUGAAAAGGCAUCAGAAGCUGUGGAUCUUGGGACAUCAGGAUUUUUCACAGUUCUCAAACUCUCAGGAUUAAACUCUAUUAAAGUUGUAGUUAUCUUGUUGUCAGAAUUCCCAUAUUAUUAUCUUUUUCAUGUAAAAUUAUCUUGUUGUCUUCACCCAUGAAUCUAAGCUAAAAUUUGAACCAAUUGUUUGCUAUUAUAAAUUUCAUUGUUAAAUGUUAAUUGUGAUGUUGGCGUUGAGUUUCUUUUAAAGUCAUAGAAGCCUGACGAUUGAGUUCCAUGGGAUUCUGAGAAGCAGUAAUAUUUUGAACAAGUGAAGGUUCUUCGUUUUUAAUUAUGUUCUGCACUUUUACAGUAUGUGCAGAUGUCUAAGAGGCAGGAUUUUAAUUUCUGUAAUGCUAAAUUUCGCAAAACAAUAAAAAAAUAAAUGCAUGACAGUGACUUCAAGAAUUUAGAUUAUUGAAUUUGGUCAUUUUAAAAUUGUUGGAAUGUUGAACUUACGUAAUUUUGAUAAACCAGAGCUCAGAAAUGUAGAAUAUAAAUAUUGGAUAUUUGGACUUCAAUCAUUAGAUUUGAAGCUAAAGAGGUAAGCCAUUAAUUACAUCCAAGGAUUUGGAAAAUGGAGGGAUUGGAAAAAGGAAACUUUUUCAUAAACUUCAAGCAUUGGGCAUUUUCAUUUGUCCGAUUCAAGAGGAACGUCAUAGAAAGGGGUAAAGAAAAGAGUAGCCUAAGAUAUUAAAGACAAUGUUGAGCCAAAGGAAACAUAAAUCCCAACCAUUGCAUGUGAACAUGAUCACAAUAAAUCCCAACCAUCCAAACCAUUUUUUUGAGAAUUUUCAAUUGAAAGUGAAACCUUUUGACAUUUACCUAAUAAAGUAAGUUAAACGAGAGAAAUAAAGGGGAAAAGAAAAGUUGACUCAAGUCAAUACAGAAUAAUUAGUUCAAUCUGGAGUAACUAAAACAGAGCCACUAUAUUUUCAACAGCUAAUGAGCUACACACGAAUCAUUUCCUUUUAGCAUUUUUGCAGCAUCAAUUUCUCUCCUCGUUUGUCAUCCAAAAUUAUUCACCAAUACCAUGGCUGAUGCAAUCGUUUCCCUGGUCUUGGAGCAGCUGAUUAUCUUUGCUGCUGAAGAGUUGAAACAACAGGGGAAGCUGGUGAGUGUUGGAUGAGUGGAUAACAGCAUGCGUCAAAUCGCAAAUUGAUCAAUGCUCUUGGUGCUCCUUAUCUGAAGAAGAAGGUGCAAAUUGAGAGCUGAAUUGCACUGUCAUAACAUUUAUUGUAAUUUCAUUUGGAGAUAUGUAAUAUCUGUUGUCCAGAUAUAUUUCAUACACCAGCUGCUAAUAAUUCUGCUUGCAGAGAACUUGCAAAGUGAUUCUGGGAUAUGUAAUAUCUGUUGUAAUAUCUGGAGAUAUGUAAUAUCUGUUGUCCUAGAAAUAUAGAUGUGUGGUUCGCAAAAUUUUCUUGAUCUUAAGAAAGAGUUAUCUUGAAUAGAAGAUAACAUGGAGAAUUCAGCAACUAUACAGUCAUAUUGAUGUCUGUCAACUUGGGUCAGAUGGUGUCGUUUGGAUGGAGAUGUUAGGUCCCAGAUGGUAUGCUUGUUAUCAAUUCCAGUCUAAUUCAUUCAUGCUUUGAUGACAUAUGCGGUGCAGCUUCUUAUCUAAGACCUGUAUAUGUUCAGUCAUCAUUCAGUUCUGUAUUUGGCUGCCAUUCUUUCAAUGAAUUCAAACCACUUUCUGAAUACUUGCAAAUUCAUCCAGUGUUGUCAUUGAGAUGCCAAUAUGUAAAGGAGCAAUAGUUGCCCUUGAUAGUAUGCUUAUUGAUUGCCUCUUGCCUCACUCAGCCUAAGGAAUCUGGUUGUAUGGUGUUCUUGUAAUUUCAUUUGGAGAUAAGUAAUAUCUGUUGUUCAAAUGUAUUUUAUAUACAAGCAGUUAAUAAUUCUGCUUGCAGAAAGCUUACAAAGGAGCUGUGUGAUGUAAUAGAAGACUACAGUCUGGUCAAUUUUUCAACCUUAGAUAUUCAGGUCAUCGGUUUCUCUUGAAUUCUUUCUUGAGUUUCUUUGAAUUAUUUGUGAAUAAGAUCUUAGUUGGCUGCUCCUCUUCAGGAUAAGGAAAGUGUGGCAAAACUCGUGAAGCUGAUAGAUAAAAGCAAUGGGUACAUCUUUGCUGGCAUGGAUGCCAGUGCAGUUGAAUUCAGCAAGAUUGCCGUUCGCGAUGUGGAUUGGGAUUAUUACAGAUAUCCUUCUUUUCACCUACUUUCAAUCUUGUGAUUCUCAUAUUCAUAAAACUUUUAUGGUUCAUUGUAUGCAUCUGCAUCUUCUAAUUUGUACGUUUGAGAAACUAAUUUUGCUGUUAGGUAGGUGUCAAAUUUGAUUCAUGCGUUUUUUAUAAAUUUACCAAAAUCAUGGAAACUUCUUCUUCCCAGAUAUUGUAUCCACACUUUUCCCAUGUAAUUCAGUCAGACAAGUUUUGCUUAACAAAGAUAUCUACAGUAGCUGAAGUGCAGGAAAAGUACAUUGAGGAUGAUGACGAUGUUAACUAAAAUGGGACACGAAGAUAUAUGGUGCGCAAACCGUAAGCAUGCCUCUUACUUUUGUGCAUGUUUACUUGCUUGUGAUUCAUGUUUGUUAAUCUAUUAUGCUCUUUUGUUGGAUUUAUAAAGUUUUCAAUCAAUCAAACAUUUGACUGGUUCAGACAGGACAAGCGCGGAAGAGGUGGUUUUAAUCAAACCACUACUAAUUAUGAUGUAUCUCGGACCUUUGUACAAUAUCAAGCGAUUUUUUUAGUUGAAUCAGCUAGUGUACACAAAUGUCGUUUAUUGAUUUUUCUCUAGUAUAGUUCGUAAUUUUGGUAACACAUCUACUCUAGUAUCGAUUGUAAUUACAAGAAACAAAGUAAUGAAAUUUAUCACUGCAUUCAUAGUUAUGCUUAAGCUCAAAGACCACUGUCAAGAUCAUUUUGGGGCCUCUAUUUGUUCUAUAACAUGAUGUUGACACAUGUCAAAUUAUGAAGCUUGUGAUUAAAAUACUUUUCACAUAUAUAUUUUAAGUACCACUAAUAAUUAAAUAUAUGAAUAAAUAUGGUCAAUGAGGAGGGGAUAAAAUAAAAUGGUUUUAUUUUUUGAAUUACUCAACUGCUUCAAACUUCUAAGAAGUAGAUUUACGAUGAGCGGAAUCUUAAAUUGAGUACGAGCUAGGGAUAACUUAUAAAAUUGGGAUACAAGCUUCAAAGAAAGUGUAUUACUAUUCAUAUGUAGAUUUCGAAUUAAGAAGAUAUGCCAACUAAUUGUAUAAAAAUGUAAAAAUUGAUCACUGACAUAAUCCCAAAUGAUAAAAUGAGCUACCUCGAUCAAAAGGUCAAGAACCUACCUUCUCUUAGGGAUAAGUGAAAGCUUCCCAAUUGAAGGAAAGUGAAGAGAAGAUUCUAUGCUCUCAUUAUUAUUAUUAUUUGUUAGAAUGAAGUGCGAAGUGAGCACAUCAUGCAAGCUCAGCAGAAGUGAUAAGGUGACUUGUAACUCAGCUGGCACUCAAGAGACAAAGUGUAGUGGAGAAAAGUUUCCCAAUUGAAGGAAAGUGAAGGGAAGAUUCUAUGCUCUAAUAAUUAUUAGUUGACAAUGAAUUGGCAAAUAAAAACAAAAUAGCAAGCCUGUAAAGUAAUGAAGUGGAGACAAUGACCAUGUGAUUGAUUGGUAAAUAAAAACAAAAGAGCAAGCCUGUAAAGUAAUGUAAACUAUAGUGUAUAUUCAAGUUAAAGUAAUGGAAACAGUGUAUAUUCACAAAAAAUUCUUUUAUCUCUCAUUGUCUUGUUCUUUUCUUUAUUUACGUUGUCCAGAAGUAAAGCCAUACAUGUGAUGAAGCAUAAAUAAGAAAGCUAUCGCCCGAAAUUCAUUUUCACAAACACUUCAAUAUCCUUUUGAUCACUUUUGCAAACAUCAAUUUGUCUCCUCUUGUAUUCACCAUGGUUGAUGCCAUCGUUUCCCCUCUCGUGGAGCAGCUGAUUUCCUUCGCUGCUGAAGAGAUAAAACAACAGGUGAUCGAAGUUACACCCCUCAUAUUACAAAUACUUACAAUGAUUUUAUUUGGUUUUGCUUUUAUCAAAAACAUUAUAAUUAUAAUUUUUGAAAUUUGAAUUGAAUUUAAUUAAAAGGUGAUAUAGUAACCACUCAUUUUUAUUUUAUUUCAUUUAUAUUCUCGAUAACUACCCAUAUUGUGGUAACUUGCUAUAACUCUCGUAUAUAAGAAAUGAUCAAAACCCAUAAUUUUAACUCUGUAUAAAUAUUCAAUGUUGAGCUAAGGUUUUGUAGAACAUUCAAGUUUAUCAAACAGUCAUUAAUUUAAUGCUUAGUAAAAUCUCAACUCUGCACUGAAUCCCAUAACUAUUACUUAGACUCUAUGAAAAAUUUCAUAGUUUUCUUACAUUCUUUGAGUUUGGUAAGUGAUUUCAUAUAAUUUAUUUUCAAGUUAAAUUUUAAUUUGGUUUCUGAUAUAGUCUCUUUGCCGAAUUGUCUCUUUUAUGAUUCUUGGAUUUUGGGCUUCAACUUUUUAGGAUUUGAUAGUCACAUUUUAUGCCGUGCUCAGAUUGAUUUUCAUGAUUAUUAGUAGCCGUUAAGUGACUUACAAUUUGACGAAAGUUUGAAAGGAAAAAUGUUUCAGGAUUAUGUUUUAAUUGACCUUUUAGUGGAAAUAGGAUGCUUAUAACUUAAUGUGGAUGGUUCGUAAAAUCAUGAAAUUUGGAUAGGAUUCACUAGAAAUAUGUUCAAGACUCUCCAUAAAGUUUCAUAAUUUUUCAUUGGGUCUGGGCUGUUACAGGUGAUGCUUGUGACUGGUGUCGAGAAGGAAGUGAAAAGCCUUACGAACCACCUUCAUGCCAUUCAAGCUGUGCUCGAUGAUGCAGAGGAAAAGAAAGUGAAGAACAAAGCUGUUAGUCUUUGGCUGGGUAGGCUCAAGUAUGCAUCCUACGACAUUGAAGAUGUGUUGGAUGCGUGGAUCACAACAAGACGUAAAUUGCAAAUUGAGGGUGGCGUUGAUGACAAUGCUCUUGCUGCUCCUCAAAAGAAAAAGAAGGUGUGUUUCUGCUUUCCUGCCUCUUGUUUUGGAUUCAAACAAGAAGAAUUUGGUUUCAAACAAGUCUUUCUACGUUAUGACAUUGCCAACAAGAUCAAAGAAAUGAAUGAAGAGCUACAUGAUAUUGCCACUCAAAAAGACAUGUUUAAUCUUAAAAGUGGUGAAAGACCAAGGCGUGUACAGAGUACCUCCUUGAUUGAUGAGGAAGAGAUUUGUGGUAGAGUUGGUGAGAAGAAUGAACUCAUAAGCAAGCUGUUGCGUGAGAGUAGCGAGCAACAAAAAGGCCUCCAUAUCAUCUCAAUUGUUGGUAUGGGAGGCAUAGGGAAAACUACUCUUGCACAACUAGCUUGUAAUCAUGACGAGGUGAAGAGAAAGUUUGACAAAAUUCUGUGGGUGUGUGUAUCAGAAACUUUUGAGGAGUUUAGGGUAGCCAAAGCGAUCGUUGAAGCUUUGGAUAGUCGUGAAUCUCAUUUAGGUGAAUUUCAAUCUCUUCUUAAAUAUAUUUAUGAAUCAAUUGCAGGGAAGAGCUUUCUUCUUGUCUUAGAUGACGUGUGGGAUGGAAAUUACUUGAAAUGGGAACCAUUCUACCGUUGUCUAAAGAAUGGUCUCCAUGGAAGUAAAAUUUUAGUUACCACACGUAAAGGGUCAGUCGCAUCCAUGAUGGGAUCCAUAACUAUUAUCUCCGUUAAGGAGUUAGCUGAAGAGGAAUGUUGGUUGUUGUUUAAAAAGAUAGCAUUUUUUGAUCGGUCCAUCGAGGAACGUGAAAAAUUAGAACAAAUUGGGCAAAGAAUUGCAGGCAAGUGCAAAGGUUUACCUCUUGCAGCAAAGACAAUAGGGCAUCUCAUGCGUUCUAAACAAACUGAAGAAGAGUGGAAAAGAAUUUUAAAUAGUGAUUUAUGGAAAGUAGAAAAGAUUGAGAAAGAUGUUUUGUCCUCUUUAUUGUUGAGUUAUAAUGAUUUGCCAUCUAGAGUAAAAAGAUGUUUUUCAUAUUGUGCUGUCUUUCCAAAAGAUUAUAAUAUAAGAAAAGACAAACUAAUCUCAGUAUGGGUGGCUCAAGGUUAUCUUAGUGCAGAAGCAGCAGAACAAAAUGAGGAGUUGGAGACUAUAGGUGAAGAGUAUUUUAGCAUCUUAGCUUCUCGCUCUUUCUUUCAAGAGUUUAAGAAAAGUUAUGAUAAUUGGAUUAUAGAGUGUAAGAUGCAUGAUAUGGUACAUGAUUUUGCCCGAUUUGUAAGUCAAAAUGAAUGUUUUUCCAUGGCAAUUAAUGGUAGUGAAGAAUCAAACGCCACAAACUCUCUUGAUGAGAAGGUCCGUCAUUUAAUGUUAAUCUUUAGUAAAGGGGCUUCAUUACCUGUUUCCACUCUUAGAGUUAAAAGAAUGCGUAGCCUCUUUAUUAACGAUAGUGAAUCUGAUCAUUCAUCAUUAAAUGGUGAGAUCCUAGAAGAAUUAUUUAGGGAAUUGACAAGUUUAAGGGCAUUAGAUUUUGGCAAAUCGUGUAACUCAAGUUGGUCUUCGACUCUGGAGUAGGGAUGGCAAAAAUCCCCACGGGGACGGGUACCCUCGGGGAUUUUCCCCAUUCGGGGAGGGUAUGGGGAUAAUUUCAUACCCAAUUUCUUAUUCGGGGAGGGGACGGGGAAAUUUUUUUACCCAAUUUCUUAUUCGGGGAGGGGACGGGGAUGAGGUGGAAUCCCCAUCCCCUACCCAUUUCCCCAUUUUAAUUUUUAAUUUAAUUUUAAUUUUUUAAAAUUACUAGUAAAUAAAUUAUAAAAUUUAAAUUAUAAAAUUAUAAAUAUUGGUAAAAAUAAAAAAUAUCAAAAUAUUUAUAUUAUUAAACUUUUAGGCCUAAUUAGCUAAUUAAAGUUCUAAAUUUUUAUUUAGGACAUUAAAAAGACUGAGUAGAUUCUAUUAGCCAAAUUUUUUUUUAAUUUUGAUAUUCUUUAAAUAUUUUAAACUUAAAUCUAUUUUUUAUUUAAUUUUAGAUGUUAUAAUUGCCCACAGCGAAUCACAAUUUUAAUAUCUAAUCUAAUCUAAUCUAAUAUUUACUUUUGAUUUGCUCCGAUUUAACUAUUGUGUUGUAAAGGGAAUAGUCCACAUUUAUAAAGUGCCCACGCCACCAUUGAAAAAGUUAAUUUUGAAUCUAAAUUUGAUUUUAUUUGUAACAAUUUUGUAUUAGACUAUUAAUUUGUUCAUGAUAGUUUGUAAAAUAAGUUUGUAUCUCUUGUAUGUUGCGUUACUUACUAAUUUAAUGUAUGUGACUUUUGUAAUAGAUAUUAAUGUAAGAUAUAUUUCGAACUUUACUUUUAUUUGAAUUUUUUAUUUUAAUAUGAUUAACUCAAAAUCGAAAAAAAAAUGUAUUAGUUAAUCGGGGAUCGGGGACCCUCGGGGAUCCCCUGUUAUUAUCUUCNNNNNNNNNNNNNNNNNNNNNNNNNNNNNNNNNNNNNNNNNNNNNNNNNNNNNNNNNNNNNNNNNNNNNNNNNNNNNNNNNNNNNNNNNNNNNNNNNNNNACCUUAUUUGUGUUUUCAGAAAAUAGUGAAACUACCGGAGACAUUAUGCGAGUUGUAUAAUCUAGGAAAGUUAGAUAUUAGUUGUUGUUAUAGUCUUAAAGAAUUACCUGAAGGGAUUGGGAAGUUAAUAAACAUGAAGCAUUUACUAAAUAGAGAUACUCAUUCUUUAAGGUACAUGCCAGUAGGGAUUGGGAGAUUAACGGGUCUUAGGACCUUGGAUGAGUUCCACGUGAGUGCAGGAGGAGGUGUUGAUGAUAGGAAAGCAUGUAGGCUUGAAUCUCUAAAAAAAUUGGAACACCUUCAAGUAUGUGGUAUACGUAGACUGGGUGAUGUAUCAGAUGUGGGCGAGGCUAAGCGAUUAGAACUUGACAAAAAGAAAUACCUCUUCAGUUUGACCCUUGAGUUUGAUAAGAAGGAAAGAGGAAGAGAAAGGAGGAAGAACGAGGACGAUCAACUUCUUCUUGAAGCCCUGCGACCACCCCUGGAUUUUAAG